CUUCAUUUGCUCUACGUCAGAUGAGAUAACGAAAUGGUCAGCCCCAAGCAGGCUCAGUGCUUCCUCCUUUUUAGAAAUGCUUGUACUGAACACUGUGACUUUCAGGUCCAAAAGCCUUCCCAAACUUAACUGCCAUAUGACCGAGCCCGCCAAGUCCAAUUACACCUAGAGACUUACCAGGUUGGUUCAUCUUGUGACGUAUCAUUGGAGUGUACACCGUGAUUCCAGCACAGAGCAAUGGCGCUGCUAGAUCCAUCGGGUAGUUUUCUGGAAUCCUGAAGCAAUACCUGUCAAUGAAGCACCACCAUUAAGUUUCCAAAUAACACCAAGACAGGAAGUGAUUUCCCAAUAGAAUCAGCAUCCUGUCUUUUUUGUCUAAAAGGAAUCAAAUCACAGAGCCAGAAAUCCUAUCUUCCGCAUGCUAAGGAAUUUUACUUGCUUAGACCACAAUUCAGCAUCAUGUUGUUUCCGUGAUCCUUGUUCUGACCACAAAUUGCUCAAGACAAACAUUUCUUGCUGUAGCAACGAAAAUAAAGCAAUUGCAGCACACCGGAGGCCACACUCGAUUAAAAUUAAGAAAAGUCACUUGCUCUAAGAAAGGAAACUGGUGGCAUAUCACAUAUGCUUGAUUGAACACGUAAUUUCUGUAUUUCCUUCAAUCAAUUUCUCCAAGGGAGUCAAGAUUCCUGUGGCUCUAUCAGAUACAAGAAUUACUGAAAGCACAUACAUUUAGCUACCCAUUUGAUCUGAUACUUAUGAUCUAACUUUAACAAUCUAAGGACAGCUUAUUCCAUUCUUGACGAUGCUUACUGAAAAGAAAGAAUUUCUUUUCGCAUUUAAUAAAGCCAAUUCUCCAUUGAAUGGUUUCAAUGGUAAUUGGAUACAGAGGACUUAAAGACCCUCCAAAGCAGUUAUAGAAAGUAUCUUUAUCCCUUUCCACAUGAUGCAUUAUGCCACUUCUGGUCACAAUCAGAAUACGAAGAAAAUUAGCAGAGAAGAAGACAUGACAUGAAAUCUUUUUUUGGCCACCAUGAUUUGAAAUUCUUUCACAGUGCAAAAUGCUGCCUAAUAACAUUGUGUCAAUAAGCAAUUACCUUUCAUGGACGACAAUGUGACUAGAAUAUCCUCCCUUUGUCACUGUACCGUCCGUAUCGAUUCCGUCAAAAGUCAAAACCAUCUUUUCACAGUGGACUUCUAGCCCGUCAUUGCAAUACUCGCACUCUCUGCAUGAAUUGACAUAAGUUCCCACACCCACAUGAUCGCCAACUUUGAAGCGUUGGACACUGGAGCCAACCUGUUUCACAAUUCCAACUAUCUCGUGCCAAUCAAUCCAAAAAAUCAUUCGCAAAUUUUGUUCAGAGAAUUAUUAGGAUGGUGCUAAGAAAAAAGAUUAACAUUCGAAUCACGCUGCAUCCUACCCUGGCACCAGAGGAUACUUGGAGCGUCCCGACAUAUUCCUAGUCCAACCCACAUCUGCAUAGCACACUCCACAGUGCGUGAUCCUAAUCGAGACGUCAUCGCUUCCCACGGUCCUAAAGAGAGAAUUCCCAAACAGGUGAGCAUCUAAUCAAGCAACUAAUCAGACUCAGUUACCUUUUGUUCUCAUUUUCCAGAUCAAUAAACUAAGCGUGGCUUACAAUAAUCAUACAUUCAACCCAAAGCAAAAUUUAAGAAAAGAGAAAUGAAAAGGAACCAAAUCCAAGACUAUAGCAUUUGUCUGAAUAGUACAUACAACCUCAAAUGCUCACAAAGGCAGCACCUGAAUCCUAAUGUCUGCCAUGAAGUUCUAAGCAACUCAUUCUGGGACAUGACAUCUCAUGCGUACGAACAAUUCUCUACCCAGAAAUUAGUGCAUACACAACAAAAUUUAUAAAAGCAAAACGAAAUGGUUUGGUUAAUGUGGAAAUUUAAAUAUAUGACAAGCAUCAAAAACUGUUUUGCAUUACAGGUGAGAGGAUAAGACCUGAGAACACUGUAUUGAGAUUAUUCAGACAAAUACUUCAAUAGAAAUUGAAAGUAUAAGGAGCAGAUGAAUUAAAUAAAGAACAAUGGUAACAGUAAUACCUGCGGCUGAAUUUGUAGGGGGAGAGACGUCCAGAAGGAUCUCUGGCAGCCCAACCAAGACAAUCUUCCUUCGCACCCUCUGAACUCAUCGUUCCUCAACGACCUCAACUGAAAUCGACCCACAAAAAAAUUGCUGCGUUAAUCUCUCAAUAAGCUGAAUUAUGGAAGAAGAAGAAGAAUUAUUUUCGUGAAAGAGAAAUGAAGAAGAGAAUUUCAAACCGAAAAACAGAAGUUCAAAUGGUCAAAAGGCCAAAUGUCACGAAGACUUGGCAAUUCCGUUUCCGUGCAGACAGGAUUUUGCUGUCUGACUUUUGAGCAAAGAGCGAGAUUGAUUAGCAGAGAACGAGGUUGAGCGCUCAAAAACCGUCACCUCUUUAUAGAUGCCAUAGCGUCGCCUGUUCUUGAUUUUUUUUUUCGUUUUAUCUUGUGGAAAAGAAUUAGUGCCAAACGUAAGCCAUUACCUUUCCCAGUAACGUCUUCUGGAGUACGGUUCUUGGUAUUUGCGGAAAUGUGUGUUUGAUGUGUGUGUAAGUGUGUUUUGUGUGUGAACUAUCAAGAGAGCAAAAGAACUAAAAAACGAUGUGAGGAAGAAAUAGUUGGACAAAAUAAUAAUGAGAAUGUGUAAAAGACAAUAAGGCUGAGGCGGUGAAGGAGAGAAACUUGAAUGAAAGUCAACAAUAGUGGCUGAAGAUGAAACUAGUAUGUGGACAGAAAGAGUAUUUGGAGAAGAAAAUGAGUUGUCUUGUAGCUGUACUGCGGCAGUGAAAAAGUGAAAAAUGUCAUGUCGGUUGUAAUUGCCUAUAUAGGCUUAUCAUAUGCUGUGUGAGGUGAACCCUUCACCUUGUGUGGGGUGACCCCUCCACUGUGAGAGGUCUUAGACCUCCACCAUGACCAUAUGAAGAGUGACUAUCAACACCUCCAUUAAAUUAUUUUGUCUUCUUCAAUAAGUUCUUGACAGCUGGAGUUUGAUGAAGAAACUUUGAUUCAUGCUUCUAUUUCUCAUGCACGUAGACUUCUUUAGCCUGUUCUAGGAUUUCUUCUUCAACUUGGCUUUUUCUUACUUGCAUUCCCAUGUGAAUCUUUUAGGUUCAGCUAGCAACCAUCAUUCUCAACAAGUCUAAACAAUCUUCAACAUGGAUGCUGCUACCAACGUUUAUUAAUUUUUAGACAGUUUUAGAGAAAAUGAAUUAUAAUUUCCAACAUAUAGUAUUUUGGAGAAAAAAGUAUUUCAGCAUAACUGUGCAAGGAUUUGUAGAUCACUACAACAUCACCGGAGGCAAAUAAUUAUCCGUCAUUGACAUGAACGAUAUAGAAAAAAUUCUUUUAAUCAUUUACCUUAGUUUAGCAAGAUCUGCUUAAACGACAGCCUUGAGUAUCUUCAAUUCCUUUUCUCUUGCCUUCAAAAAGAUAUUGAAAUGCGACACGGAAUAUCAAGACAGAUUGUCAUUGACAAAGCCGUAAAAGCCUACUCGAUCUGGCAAAACUGGGGACUGUUCUUUCCAACGAUCUUGACCACCUCGGCAGCUGCUGUGCAAAUGGAUAGGAAUGCAUGCAGAGGGACAAGCUGAUUGUUACCUGCUUUUAGUCGUUCAUUUGAAACUGUAAGAUUCAUGUGCCAUAAGAUAGCUAGACAAGCGAGCAAAAAAUGAUGCGCCUUGCACCAAAGGUGGCAAGAGCAAUUAAAUUAAAUUCAAACCAAAAAAAGCUUGAUGCAUAAAAUGAAAAGUCAUCCUUUGAGCGAAUAAAUGACAAAGUAAGUGCAAUGAGAGUCACUAAUGUUCACGCUAGACUUAUGCCAUGACCAUUCCUUAGUCGAGAGAACGUAAGCAGCGACAUCUUCUAGAUAGUGGUUACUAGCAAUUUUAUUUUUUAUCCCCAGCCUAAUCAUAUUAUCCGAGUUAUAAGCUCAGAAAGAAGUCAAUGAGCAAUCUACCGCUAGGACCUAUGAAUGGUCAUACGAUAUUGGUUACACAUCUUGUUAGAAUAUAAUAUGCGGAAAUAAUAGGAUCUUGCAAUUUACGUCAACGCGCAAAAUUCCAGAUAAAUAAACGAGAAAUAAUAAGAAUCAUAAAUUUACGUGAUUCAGUCCGAGUAUCGAUAUUUACAUUCACAGGGAGAGCCAGCAACAAAUAGUCCAUUAUAAUAGGAAAAUCAGAAUUUACAAUCGCACACACGCUCGAUUACUUCCCACACCAAGAUUUAAGCUCAUACUCAAAGAGUUUAUAAAUAAAUAAUUCACUUGGAAAUUAUCUCGCGUUCAAGCUUUAAACUACAAAACAUUCUACGUACGCCAAAAACAAGAACUCCGGCAUUUGUCUUUUGGUUCGCGUACAUACAGAUUCGUGUUCUUCUUUGCUUGAUCGUUCGUGUGGCGCUGUUCUAGACGCUCCUUUUGUGUGGCUCUUUCUUCUUCGUAGGGCUUCAGCGACUCUUUCUAAAAGAAAAAAAAAAAAAACGUGUUCUAAUUUAUAUGUGAGCCUAGAGUCUAACAACUUUGACUUUGAGCCCCACCACGUGCUUCUUUGUUCAAUGGGAAGUGGGACGCGGUGAAGAGACCCUACCUUUUUCUUCCUCUUUCCUUUAUUUUAUAUAUAUUGUGUGCCCAAAGUUAAGACUUUGACUUUGGGCCCCACGUAGAGAGCCUUGUUCGGCUCCCGUAGAUAGAUAAAGAAGAAUCUUUGCUCCUUUUUUGUUAUUCUAUUUUAUUUUCUCUUUUAUAAACUUUCAUGGAGUCCGACGAAGCUUUUUUUUGUUGAUCGAAAAUAUCCAAGACCCAAAAAGAAUUUCGAAUUUCUUUUCUUGUGCAUAAUCUUGAAUAUUAUAUUCAUCAGAAAAUAUCUUCACGAUCAAAUAAUAAAAAAUUUAUCCAAGCAAAUUGCGUUUUGCAAAUAUUUAAAAUUGAGACAUAAUUUAACACAUCUGAUAUGAUGUACUACCCAAUUACUGUCCUCUGACAAUUUAUAUUUGAUUAAUUUAUUUCAAGAAUAUUCAUUUGUUAAACUUGUUGGCUUACAAAUCACUGUCACUAUCACGUGAUAUAUCCUAUAUUGAGAAUACUUGGGAGCAUCUAUGCUUGUUUUAUGUAUGUUAUGCUUGUGAUGCAUCUUGUUUUGAGUGGACUGUAGAACUAUUUAAGUUCAUGCCAAUUUGACUAAUUUUUUAUCUGGAUAAGUGCAUUGGAAUAUUUAAAAACUUAUCAUAAAAAUACAAUUAAGCCAUGAAACUUUGAAAUCAAGUUCUAGAACUUGUCACGUUGGUCUAAUCUAAAUCCUUCCAUUGCAUUUUUGAAAAUUUCAGUACUUAACUACAAUUUUCUAACAAGUUUUAGUAUUUCCAAUAUACAUAUUUGUCUUUCAACCUCACUAAUGUUUUUAAGCAAUAAUGAGCUUGACAUAUCUCUGAUUUCGGAAUUUCAAUGGCUAUAGGAGACAAAAGGACGUCCUCUAAUGAAUCAACAAUCUUAUGCCAUGACAAAGCUGGAAGAGAGAUGAGUGUCUUCCAUAGUUAUAAAAAAUGUUCAUGCGAUAAUCUGUAGGAAUUCGUCUUCCUGACGUGCAUGAAUAUUUCCGGCCAUGAAACAUUUCACAGUGAAGACAUUCUGUCACUUAAACUGGCAAAAGGAUAUUGAGCUUGUUCUUUUGGCGAGGGUAUUGCUAUUAAAUAUGCCAAUUAAUUCCACGACUAUUAGCAUUUGUUUAAAUAGAGCAUACAACCUAAAAUGCUCACAAUGGCAGCUGGUACUGGAUCCUCAUGUCUGCCCAUGAAAUUCUGAGUGCCUCAGACAUGGCAUAUCAUGCACACAAACAAUUCUCAACCCAGAAAUUAGUGCGUACACAACAAAAGUUAAAAAAAGAAAAAAAGAAAUGGUUUGGUUAAUGUGGAAAUUUAACAUAAUGACAAGCAUAAAAAAACUGUUCAGCAGUACAGUAGAGAGGUCAAGACCUGAGAACACUGUAUUGAGACUUAUUCAGAUGAACACUUCAGAUAGUCACUAAAAAGCUAAGGAGCAAAUUGAAUAGAGAAGGGAAAAGUGCCAAAAAAGUCCUAAAACUUUUGUCAUUGUGCCGAUUUAGUCCUAAACAUUUUUAAGUUGUGCAAAUUCAGUCCUUUCCGGCCAAUUUUGCCCGGAUUUUGCUGACUGGACGCCAGUCAGCUGACGUGGACAAUUUUUAAUAAUAUUUUAAUAUUUUAAUAUUUUAUUUUUUAUUUUUUUAUUUUUUUUAUUCUGCUCUUCUUCCUCCAGCCGGUCGCCGGACCUCGGCGACCAGCCACCUCGCCAGUGGCCGCGGGGGCGGCCUCGCGUGGGGCGGCGAGGCUCACCCUCGCCGGAUCUGGCAAGGGUCGAGCCUCGCCCAUGGCCGGCGAGGCCGCCCUCGAGGCCUGGGCUGCGAGGCUCGCCCUCGUCGGAUCUGGCGAGGGCGAGCCCCGCUAGCUUGCCGGAUCUGGAUUUGGCGAGUGAGGGGGUUUGAGCAGGGGGAGAGAGUCAGAGGGGGUAAACCGCUGGCCACCCACCUGAGCCGCGGCCGUCGGCCUACGGCCGCGCCUGGUUUCAAGCACCGAAGCUUCGGUAGGCCUCGGUCCUUUUUUGUGCCUUGCGUUGGUCGGACUAGGCCAGAGCUCGCGGUCUUCAAGGAUUCGGUUCGAGAUCUGAGGGCGUUUGAUCUGGGCGGGACUUGAGAGAGAGAGAGUCCUCUCCCGGCCAAGCCGAGGAAACCCUGGCCACGUGAGACCACCGCCACAAUGCUGCCGCCCAAUGCCGUCCACCGCUGCUCGCCGACCCGCCGCCAUAUCCAGCGAGGGCGAGCCUCGCCCGCCCCGCGCGAGGCCACCCCCACGGCCACUAGCGAGGUGGCUGGCGAGGUCGAGGUCGACCUCACCGGCCGUCACCUCUGGCCGGUCGCCGAGGUCCGACGACCGGCUGGAGGAAGAAAACCAGAAUAAAAAAAUAAAAAAAUAAAAUAAAAAAUUCAAAAAUAUUAAAAUAUUAUUAAAAGUUGUCCACAUCAGCCGGCCGGCGUCUAGUCAGCAAAAUCCGGCCAAAUUGGCCGGAAAUGACUGAAUUGGCACAACUUAAAAAGGUUUAGGACUAAAUUGGCACCAAAAAAAGGUUUAGGACUAAAUCGGCACAAUGACAAAAGGUUUAAGACUUUUUUGGCACUUUUCCCAAAUAAAGAACAAUGGUGAUGAUAAUACCUGCGGUUGAAUUUGUAGGGGGAGAGAAGUCCUAGAAACCGUCAUAAAUGCCAUAGCGAUGGAUGUUCAUGAUUAAUCUUUGAGCUUACUAUUGUGGAAAAGUAUUAGUGAUUCGCCAAAUGUAACCCAUGACCCUUCCUUAACCCAAGAACGCAUGCAGUGACAUCUUCUAGAGAGCGGCUCCUGGAAUUUUUUCCAUCCAUCCUCCCACUACCUAAUUGCAUUAUCAACCUAUUGACACAUAAACGAUGUCAAUAGGCAAUGUGCCGUUGCACCACAAGACCCACAAAUGGUCAUCUAUGUCGGUUACACCACCAAUAAUUUGUACCUGACCCUUCAUGGUCCUAUUAUUUGAUUAAUCUGUUUAAAGAACAUUCAUUUUCUUCAAACAUGCUUUCUCACGUGCCACUGUAAUAUGAUGUUUGUUGCGACCUACCUUCGGAGGGAAGGAAUAGGUUUAGGGGUAUUGGCUAAAGGACGGGCCUAAAGCCUAUAAUUAGACGCGAGCUCUCCUAAACCUAUAUCCCGCAUGACGUUAGGAUAUUCUUAAGAAAUUUUGCUCGCCACUAACCUAUUGGGGUCGGCUAGAAACCAAGUGAGGCAUGGGAGCGUGCCUCACUUUCUACGCAACCAGAGAAUCUGGGUUCGAGGACUUAAUUACACUAAUUAACUAAUUAGUACCCUUUCGAUACCUAAUCUUGUUCAUUUUAACAAAAUGAUUUUUGGCAGGCAGUUUGAAUUGAUUUUAUACUUAUCCACUGACAUAUGAUCAUGCAGAUGCGCAAUCAUUUAAAAUAAUAAUCAUAACUACCAAGAUCCUAAUUAUAGUAAAAUUAACUCAUGCAACUAAACAAUCGCAGACACAGUCGAAUAUGUAAGUUAAACAUGCAAUAUAAUCAAAAUACGAACAAAUAAAUACCGAAUUACACAAAGAAGGGCAAUACACAACAAUUCCUAAUCAAACCCUAUAUUUUUGGAUUUACGAAUUUUUUUAUAUAUAUAUUUUUUAAAUUUAAUAAUUUUGUUUUUUUAAAUAAAUUAAAUUUUCUUUUUAAAGAAAGAUUUUUUUUUAUGUUUUCUGGAUUUUUUAAUUUUCGGAAAUUUUUUGAUUUUUGAUUUUUUUUUUUGAAUUUUUAUAUUUUUAAUAUUUAAUAUUAUUAUAAUCAGGAAAACGGGUCCGACUGGGUAGAUCCGAUGCGGCCAUUGACCCGACCCAAAACCAGAUUCGACUCUAUCGGAUUGAAAGAGAAAAUAAGAUUUUUAAUUAAUUUUUUUAGUUUUUAAACACUUUUUCUGUUUUUUCCUUCUCCUCCUUUUUUGGCCUCCUCCAUGUCUUGUCUUUUCCCUGCAGUCUUCUCAUCCUCGCCGCCUUCACCGAAGAUCCGCCCCCCACAUCUUUUCCACAUUUCUAUUCUUUUUUUUCUUUUUUUUCUUUUCACCACCCUUUUAUUUCUUUUAUUUCUUGUUUUUCUUCUAAGCUUUUCUUUUAAGUUGUCUUCUCUGCAUGCUUUCUUCUCCGCUCGAAGCUUCCAUUAAACACCCGAAACCCCCUCUGCCAUUUCAUACUUUUCUUUUAUUAUUUAUUAUUUUGCCUUUUUAUAUUUCUUUUUCUUUAUUUUUCAUUUUUUUUCUCUCUUUUUGUCCUUUUCCCUAUUUCGGCUAUUCUACUGCAUCUUCUCCUUCCGAAAGCUAACGCCAAUUCUGCAACUUCCUCGCCGAAGCUCCUUCCCACCGAAUCUCAUCCGCACACUAACGACACGGCCCUGAACAAUCGGUGACCCUUCCAUCGCCCGUCCACCGGUAGUCGCUACCCCACGGAAAGAUGAACAGGCGCAAAAGAACAACAAGAAGACAAGGAAUGGAACACGGGUCCCUAAGAUAUUAAGGAACUACGUCAACAUCAAGAAAUGUUCAGAUUCAGCCAUAACAACAACAAAACCUAAACGAAAUCAUGCUCAAUGAUCCAUAAAGGAUUCCUUUUACGCAAGACCGGAGCAUACUCAUUCCAAAUGAUCCGAAAUUCACGACCUAAUCCGCGUUAACUUAGUUCAAGCGUUUUAUCAAACACGUGGUAAGCACUGACUCGGGAUGAGGUUAUUAACUCCUCUUUGGACCCGCUCGAGUCUAGACCCAGAGAAAUCAUCAAGAAACAUGCAAAAUCGACCACAUCAACUUACUCAAACUCAGCGUGCAUAUGGGCUGACAAAAGGAACAAGACAUGGCUUCCGGUUAGACCAAAACAAGGUGGAGCAGCAAGGGUUCAUGCGAACAAGCAUCUCAUCACGGAGUUCCCUACCCAACUCGAAGACGGCAGGAAGCGGGCCAACUCGCGACAAAUCGAGCUAUAGCUCGCCGCUUUGGUAUCUUCGAGCUGGGACCCUAAUCGAAAUGCAUCCAUUUGUCUCAUGCACUAUGGGGAUCCUCGGGCAAGAGAGGUUUGAACCGAGUAAAGAAACUCACCAGCGACGCCGAGAUUCGGGGGCGAAAGAUCGUAUGCUAGAGGAUAUUGGCCAGAGGUCGUCGAAGACGGUUCGAGCGUGGCCGACCUGCUACAAAACUUCUCCCUCGCUUUUGUGCUGGUGUUUUCUCCGUUGCUCCUUCUGCCAAGCCCCCCGCUCCCUCUGUUCUUCUCCUGUUUUCUUUUAAAACUGCCGUUGGUUCAUUUCCCUUUGCCUCCGUCCAAAAUGCCUUUUGCUAGUCCACGAAGCCAGCUCUCUUUCUUUUCCAUCUUCAGCUCUAAUUUUCCUCGGUCAGUCCAGCCUCCUUGCCUCUAUGUAUGCCUGCAGCCGGUCUUCUCCUUGGGACCGAGUUCGGUCUAUUUUCAGCUACAACGGCUGCUGGUUUUCUUGGGCUUCGUCAACUGCAGGCGCUGCCACGCUGCAGCCAAGCUUUCAUUGCUUCCAUUUUUCUGAAAUCGCACUUGCCGAUCCUCUGCAGAUCCUUCUUCGGCUUCCUCCUGUUCUGUCUUCUACAGGUCCUGCGCGAAGAUUGGAGGAGGGAGAAGGAUGGGGCGCGGGCUGGGCCGACGGGGGGAAAGGAGGCUGGGCCGCGGGGGGAAAAGAAAUAUAAAAAAAAAAAAAAAUUCUUGAUUUUUUUAUUGACUUUUCGAUUGAUUUUUUUUUUUUUUGUAAAAAUAGGUAUCAACAAUGUUUUUGAUACACAAAAUACUAUCUCUUCAAGAGCUUUGACUCCUAUAUACUUGGGGCAUUAAAUUUUUUUAGCAACAAUGAGCUUGGCAUAUCUCUGUUUUCGGGAUUUCAGUUGCUAAGGGAAACAAAAAGGACGACCUCUAAUGAAUCGACAGUAUUUUGCUAUAACAAACUUGGAAGAGAGAUGAGUGUCUUACGUAGUUACAAAAAAAUGAUCAUGCAAUAGUUGGUAGAAAUUUACUCUGCUGACAUGCAUGAACAUUCUGAAAAAAAAACGGAAAACGUGCAUGAAUAUUUCCGGCCAGAAAGCAUUCACGAGGAGCUGAGAGACACUAUUUCUUAAAGCAGCAAAAUGAUUACAAGUUUGUUCUUUUAGGGAGUGGAAUGAAUAAAUUGUACAAAAAAUCCUAAACUUAUUGUCCGAUCACUAAUUUAAUUCUGAACUUUUUAAUUUGAUCAAUGUUGUCUAAAACUUUUGACAAUUUUUUGUAGUCCACCUAGUUAAAUUUAGGUCAAAAAUCAGUGACAGAGCAAUUUAGUAAACACUAACCGUUUUAAGUGAUACAACUGAUAGCUUAUAUAGAUGACUUAAAUGAGGUAGCGUCAUUUCACAAUUUUUUUUUUAAUAUUCUUUCUUUUCUUCUCUUUUAGUAAUUUUUUUCCUAUUCUUUCGUUCUCUAGUGUUCUUUUUCUUCCCUCUACUGGUGGCCGAUGCCUCAGCAAUGACCAGGGACCAUCAUAGGCUACAAGUGAGGGCAUUGAGCAAGACUUACAAGCCUUCUCCUAGAUUUGUGCAAGGGCCCUAUAGGCCCUCACUGGCCAUAGGCAAUUGGGGACUUGCAAGCCCUUGCCUAGAUCUACCCUCGCAUGGGGUCAAUGUUUACCAUCACCAAGGCCUCAAUGUCUUGCUCAAGAAAGAAAAUGAACAGCAGAGAAGGAGAUGAUAGGAAAAGAAAGAAAAAAGAAAAAAAGAGGAAAGGAAAAAAGGGAAAAAAUCUGAAAUAAUAACAAAAAAUUGCAAAAUGACGUUUCAUUUAAGAUCAUCCAUGUCAAUUGCGAAUCAUGCAACGUGGCCUACCUUGUUGGAUGCAGUAGAUUUAGGAUAUUUUGAAUAUUUUUCUCUUGUUAAAUAUGCCUGAUUUAUUUGAUAUCCUAAAAUUUGUCAACUUUGUGAAAUCAAGUUCUAAAAUUUGUUGGCAUUUUUUUCAUAUUGGAUGAAGUUAAUGAAAUGACUUGAUUACAACUACUUGAUAAGUUUUAUAACUUGAUUGUAAUUUUUGAAAAUUGUAGGACUCAGUUGCAUCUCUGUAAUAAGUUUUAAAACUUGAUUACACUAUAUGUAAUAAAUUUUAAGAUUUUCAGUAUAUUUAUCUCUAAAAUAAAUAAAUAAAUAGGGCCUACCCCCUUUACAUGAACUCUUUAAUUUAAACGCACCAUGGAAUUUCCUGUCCUUUUACACUGUUUCAUUAACUAAGAAAUUUUUUUUUUUUUGGGGUUAAAACCAAGAUUUAAUUCUUUCUUUUUUUUUUCUUUUGGACGAGCCAAGAUUUAGUUCAAAGAUAGAUAUUUCCAGGAGAAAAAAUUUCAGCAAACUAUGCAAGGAUUUGCAAAAGAUCGCAACAAUAUUACCGGAAGCAUAUAAUUAUUUAUCACUGACAAAUGAUAUAGUAAAAAUUCUUUUAGUAGUUUACCUUAAGUUUAGCAAGAUCUGCUUAUUCGGCAGCCUUGAGUUUCUUCGAUUCCUUCUCUCUUGCCUUCAAACAGAUAUAGAAAUGCAAUGCAGAAUAUCAAGACAAAUUGCCAUUGACAAAGCUGUAAAAGCCUACUCAAUCGAGCAAAACUGGGACAGUUUUUCCAGUGAUCUUGACCACCUCCGCAGCAUGCCGUGGAAAUAGAUAGGAACACAUGCAGAGGGACAAGCUGAUUAUUACUUGCUUUUAGUCAAGCAUUCGAAACUGUAAGAUUCAUGCACUAUAAGAUAGCCAGACAAGCGAAAAAAUGAUGGGCAUUUCAGUUGAGGUGUCAAGAGCAAUUAGAUUGAAUUCAAACCAAAUAAAGCUUGACGCAGAAAAGAGAAAUGUUGUGCAUUGAGCGAAUAUAUGACAAAAUAAGUGCAAAGAGAGUCAUGGAUGUUCUAGCGCUUUGGCCAAUUGAGUUCUUAAAAUUUUACUUUGCUUAAUUGAAUCCUCAGCAUUUUCAAUUUCAGUCAAUUGAGUCCCUCAACCUUGAUCCUCGGAAAUAGUCACAUGGCUAUGAUUUUCCAAGUUGAUAAGAAGAUGCUCGAGAAGACAAGCGGGUAGGAGGUGAAAUGGGACCUAAGUGUAAGUUUUACUAUUUCAAUAACUACAACUGAUCUGACAGAAGAUUGAACUUUCAUGGAUCUGGCACUUCGUUUGAAGCUAUACAAACAGAAAUCAGCGGGCUCAAGAACCCAAUCUUUUAGAUAGUUUCUGAAUUAUCACACAGAAAAGCACUAGGAUAUCUUUACGCAUUCACUUAUUUCCUCUGUAAACUCACAGUUAUUAAAGUAUAUUAGGCAUCAUUUAUUUGUAGUACAUUAGGUACAGAUGUCCUCUCUUUGAGAUUCCCUCUUUUCCUCUUCUUACGAUCAGCUUUGCCAGAAGAUGUUUCCAACUUCCGACAUUGAUGAUGUCAUUUCAAGGAAUUCUCAAUGUUGAUCACAAAUCAGUACUUAACAUCUCUCUUGAUGAGCCCCUCAAGGGCUUCAUAGGCAUAAUCGAUUGGUAUCACUUCGAUUUCUUGGUAUAUGUGCUGUGCCGCACAGAGGUCUACCAUUUCUUGGAUAUACUUCAUUCCUCCAAUAGCGCUACCCAAAACUGUUUUCAAAACUGCAAAAAGUUCACUGUGAGCAACUUAGUUGGUUCGCCUAUCAUGUAUCAAUAUUUCAUUCAGUAAUGAGCUUUGAGAACAAAAACAUACCAAGGUUAAGGCUUGCCGCACUGAAUGUAAUUUCGCUUUGGGACGCAACCAAUGCUAGAACCCAUCUUCAAAAGAGACAUGUAAGGAUCAAAUAGGUGAUUAGCAGAUGCCGUGUCAAUUAUAAAGUCCAUGGACUUAGCCAUGGCCUGCAUGUAUUGGAAUCAUCAGAUCACGGCAGCACUUGACCUCCAUGGAUCCAAAGUAUUGAUAAUUCCAAAUCUUCCCAUUUGCCUUCAUCUGAAAUGGUCAGCACCAAGCAAGCUCAGUGCUUCCUCCUUUUUAGAAAUGCUUGUACUAAACACAGCGACUUUCAGUCUAAAAGCCUUCCCAAGUUUAAUUGCCACGUGACCGAGCCCACCGAGUCCAAUUACGCCGAGAGACUUACCCGGUUGGUUCAUCUUGUGACGCACCAUUUGAGUGUAUACUGUGAUUCCAGCACAGGGCAAUGGUGCUGCUAAAGCCAAUGGGUAGUUUUCUGGAAUCCUGAAGCAGUACCUGUCAAUGAAGCACCACAAUUAAGUUUCCAAAUCACACCAAAGGAGUAAGGGAUUUCCCAAUAGAAUCAGCAUCCCAUCUUUUUUGUAUAACAGGAUUCAAAUCACAUUUUACUUGCUUAGAGCACAAUUCAGCAUCAUGUGGUUUCUGUGAUUCUUUUUCUGACCACAAAUUGCUUAAGACGAAAACUUCUUGUUGUAGCGACGAAAGUAAAGCCACUGCAACAUAUAGGAGGCCAUACUCGAUCAAAAUUGAGAAAAGAGGCUUGCUCUUAACAGAGGACACUGGAAGCAUAUUGCAUGUGCAUGACAGAUCAUGUAAUUUCUCUAUUCCCCUCAAUCAUGUCUCUAAGGGACACGAUAUUCCCGCGACUGUUGGAUACAAGAAUUCGUGAAAGCACGUAAAUUUUAUUACCCAUUUGAUCUAACACUUACUAUCUAACUCUUGGAAACAAUCUACAAAAAAGGGAGGAAGAGGAGACAGAAGGCGAGAAUUGAGCAAUUUCCAUCUCUCUCUCUUUUAAUUAAGGGUUAAUAUCCUAAAAAAUCCCAAACCGGUACACGUGACAAAUUUACCCCGAUGGACUAUAAAAAAAACCCUAAACUUAUAUAUUUAUGACAAAUUUACCCCAAACUAAUUUAUUCGACGGCAAAAAACCCGAAAAUGGUAAAUUUGUGACAAAUAUACCAUCUGCUAAACUGAAUUAAUAUCACAAAAAAAUCACAAAAAUUGUAAACUGUGACAAACGGGGCGUAAAAUUUCAAAUUGGUAUACUAGUCAACUGUCACGUGUCAUUUAACUUAAUAAUUUGACAGUAAAAUUUAACGAAAACUAACAGAGGGUAAAUUUGUCACAAGUAUAACAGUUUAGGGUAAAUUUGUCAAAUGUAUACCAGUUAGGAGUUUUUGGUGGUUAAAAAAAUAGUUUGGAGUAAAUUUGUCACAUGUGUAUCAAUUUUGGGUUUUUUAGGAUAUUAACCAUUUAAUUAAUUUAGUUUUCAAUUUUAUUUUAUUAAUUUUUCAUGAAAAAAUCAUAUAUUAGAUUUAUUGGCUCACAUGUCAUUGUCACUUGAUGUGUAUGAUAUAUAGAAUAGUCCAAGAAAUUUGACUUUAGAUACUUGGGAACCCGUGAAUGGUCAUACAUUGUCGGUUACACAUUCAACAUGAUGUAUUAGCUAAUCAUAGUCCUCUAACGGUUUAUAUUUGCUUAAUAUAUUUCAAGAAUAUUCAUUUGUUAGACUUGUCUGCUCACACGCCACUGUCACUUGAUGUAUAUGAUAUGCAGAAUAGUCUAAGAGCUUUGACUUUAGAUACUUGGGAGUGUCUAUGCUUGUUUUAUGUCUGUUAUGCUUGCAAUGCUUCUUGUUUUGAGUGGACAGUACAAAUAUUUAAGUCCGUGUCAAUUUGAACAAUUUUCUUUAUUAUAGAGCAACAAUCUUUAAUCUAUUGUGUUCUUGACCACAAAAAACCAAAUAACAAAUAAGUAUAAACUAUUGUAGGGUCCAACGACAAUCUUUAAUCUAUUGUGUUCUUGACCACAAAAAAUCAAAUAAUAAAUAAGUAUACACUAUUAUAAGGCCCACUCCUUUAAAAAUUUGUUGCUCACAACAACUUAUUUAUUCUCAUAAUAACCCAAAGUUAUGCUAGCAAAGCUCUUUUUAGUAAGUGUAUUGAAAGUUUUAAAAACUUGUCACUAAAGUGCAUUGAGUCCUAAAAUUUUCAAAAAAAUGCAAUUUAAUCUUAAAAUUUGUCAUGAAAUGCAACUGAGUCUUAAAAUUUUCAAAAAGUACAAUCAAUUAUAAAGAUUUAUCAAAAUUGGUCCAAUUUAAGUCAUUCCAUUGAUUGUAAUUUUUGAAAGUUUUAGAGCUCAACUAUGCUUUCCUAACAAAUUUUAGGACUUAAUUAUACUUUUUGAAAAUUUUAGAACUUAACUGUAAUUUAUGAUAAGUUUUAGGAUUUUUAGUAUACUUAUCUUUUUUUUUUUUUUCACCUCAUUAAUCUUUUUAGCAACAAUGAGCUUGACAUGUCUCUGUUUUCAAGAUUUCAGUGGCUAGGGAAAACAAAAGGGAUGUCCUCUAAUGAAUCAACAAUCUUCCUGCCAUGACAAUGCCGGAAGAGAGAUGAGUGUCCUACAUAUUUAUCAAAAAUGUUCAUGUUAUAAUUGGUAGGCAUUCACUCUGCCAACGUGCAUGAACAUUUCCGGAGAUGAAACAUUCGUGAGGAGCCAGUAAAGACAUCCUGCUAUUUAAACCGGCAAAGGGAUAUCAAGCUUGCUCUAUUGGCAAGUAUAUUGUCGUCAGAUCAGCCUAAUUAAUCCGAUAUUUUUUCAUACAAAAAAUCGUCAUCGAGGCCAACUUAAUCCAAAAUGCCAAUGGACAGGCUUUGGUAAGCUAGUGGAUAGGUAUGCCGCUUUAUCUUAUGUCGUGCUAUCUCACGAGAGAUGGUGCUGCGUUCUCUUUAGAAUGCACAUGACUUGGGAUAGGAAAACCUUAGGAUCCGACUAGGAGGAAGGAAAAAAGCAAUCUAUUGUCGGGCCAAUACAAGAUCAUUUCAUGUCAAACUCCGCAGUCUUGAGGCCAUGGAAUCUACGACAAACUUGCUCAUUCACAAGGACUGAGCAAAUAAAUGAUAAAAUAAGAGCAAUAGUCGUCAUUGAUCGUCUACCCUUUGAUUGAUUGGAUUCUAAAUAUUUUAUUUUCAAUUGGGGUCUAAAUAUUUUAUUUGAUUCAAUUGACUUCUAAACAUUUCCAAUUUUAGUCAAUCAAGUCCCUCGAAUAUUAACCGCGGAAAGAGGCACAUGGCUGUGAUUUUACAAGUGGCUAAGGAGAUGCUUGAGGAGAAAACCUGUUAGGAGAGGCGAAACCAUUCCAGCAGAACUCUCAAGAAGCCAAUUUUUCAGACAGUUUCUCAAUCAUCACAUAGAAAAGUACCAGGAUUUCAUUACCCAUUUCACUUAUUUCUGCUAUAAAACUCACGAGUAUCGAAGUAUAUCAGGCAUAGUUUAUUUGUACUCCAGCAGAACAACUAAAAAGGCACAGAUAAUGCUCUCCUCUAGCUGAAACUCCCACUUUUCCUCUCUGUGUGAUCAGCUUUGCCAGCAACAAUUUCCAACUACCCAAAUUGAUGUUGAAAUUUAAUCAAAUAGACUCAGAGAAGAAAACCCGCAAGAGAAUUGUUGCUGUAACUUUCGUUAAGAAAACCCACACGAGAAUUGUUGCUGUAACUUUCGUUAUUUUAUUCAUCAGAACAUAAGCCUAUUAAAUAGGCAGAACAUCCAAACCACUUAGCAAGAAAAUAGCUAUAGAACAACAACAACAAAGACCCACUAACAUACCCCACUAACCAGAACAUAUGCAGAAACUAACUCCUAAAAACAAGCCACUUCCUAUUGACUAGGACUCCACUAUUACAUUAUUGAAGACACAUAAAAACAAAGUUAACUACUUCAACAAUUGAUGGUGUCACUUCAAGGAGUUCUCAAUGUCGAUCACGAAUCGAUACUUAACAUCUCUCUUGAUGAGCCUCUCCAGAGCUUCGUUGGCAUAAUCGAUCGGUAUCACUUCGAUGUUUGGGUAUAUCUUCUGUGCUGCACACAGGUCUAUCAUUUCUUGGGUAUCCUUUGUUCCUCCCGUUACGCUACCUGAAACAGUUCUCAUAUCUGCCAAAAGUUCACCGCAAGCAACUUAGUUCACCUAUCAGGUAUAAAAUUUCAUUUAGUAAUCAGAUUUGAGAACAAAAACAUACUGAGGUUAAGGCUGGCUGGACUGAAUUUAACUUCGCUCAGGAAGCCGACCAAUGCUAGAAUGCCACCCGUCUUCAAAAGAGACAUGUAAGGAUCAAAUGGGUGAUCACCGGCUGCCGUGUCGAUUAUAAAGUCCAGGGACUUAGCAAUGGCCUGCAUGCAUUGGAUUUAUCAGAUCACAACAGAAUUUGACCACCAUGGAUCUCAAUGUGGAUAAUUCUAGUUUUUCCUCUUUUUACCUUCAUCUGCUCUAGGUCAGAUGAGAUAACGAAAUGGUCAGCCCCAAGCAGGCUCAGUGCUUCCUCCUUUUUAGAAAUGCUUGUACUGAACACUGUGACUUUCAGUCCAAAAGCCUUCCCAAACUUAACUGCCAUAUGACCGAGCCCGCCAAGUCCAAUUACACCUAGAGACUUACCAGGUUGGUUCAUCUUGUGACGUAUCAUUGGAGUGUACACCGUGAUUCCAGCACAGAGCAAUGGCGCUGCUAGAUCCAUCGGGUAGUUUUCUGGAAUCCUGAAGCAAUACCUGUCAAUGAAGCACCACAAUUAAGUUUCCAAAUAACACCAAGAGAGGAAGUGAUUUCCCAAUAGAAUCAGCAUCUUGUCUUUGUUGUCUAAAAGGAAUCAAAUCACAGAGCCAGAAAUCCUAUCUUCUGCAUGCUUGGGAAUUUUACUUGCUUAGACCACAAUUCAGCAUCAUGUUGUUUCUGUGAUCCUUGUUCUGACCACAAAUUGCUCUAGACAAACAUUUCUUGCUGUAGCAAUGUAAAUAAAGCAAUUGCAGAAUACAGGAGGCCACACUCGAUUAAAAUUAAGAAAAGACACUUGCUCUAAGAAAGGAAACUGGUGGCAUAUCACAUAUGCUUGACUGAACACGUAAUUUCUCUAUUUCCUUCAAUCAAUUUCUCCAAGGGACACAAGAUUCCUGUGGCUCUAUCAGAUACAAGAAUUAGUGAAAGCACAUACAUUUAGCUACCCAUUUGAUCUGAUACUUAUGAUCUAACUCUAACAAUCUAAGGACAGCUUAUUCCAUUCCUGACAAUGGUUAUUGAAAAGAAAGAAUUUCUUUUUGCAUUUAAUAAAGCCAAUUCUCCAUUGAAUGGUUUGAAUGGUAAUUAGAUACAAAGGACUUAAAGACUCUCCAGAGCCGUUAUAGAAAGUAUCUUUAUCCCUUUCCACAAGAUGCAAUUAAUACCUAAAAGCCAUUCCUCACAGUCCUAUGCAUUAUGCCACUUCUGGUCACAAUCAGAAAUUCAGAAUACAAAGAAAAUUAGCAGAGAAGAAGACAUGACAUGAAAUCUUUUUUUGGCCACCAUGAUUUGGAAUUCUGUCACAGUGCAAAAUGCUGCCUAAUAACGCUGUGUCAAUAAGCAAUUACCUUUCAUGGAUGACAAUGUGACUAGAAUAUCCUCCCUUUGUGACUGUACCGUCCGCAUCGAUUCCAUCAAAAGUCAAAACCGCCUUUUCACAUUGGGUUUCUAGCCUGUCAUUGCAAUACUCACACUCUCUGCAUGAAUUGACAUAAGUUCCCACCCCCACAUGAUCGCCAACUUUGAAGCGUUGGACACUGGAGCCAACCUGUUUCACAAUUCCAACUAUCUCGUGCCUGAAUCAAUCAAAAAAAUCAUUUGCAAAUUUUGUUCAGAGAAUUAUGAGGAUGGUGCUAAGAAAAAAAGAUUAACAUUUGAAUCACGCUGCAUCCUACCCUGGCACCAGAGGAUACUUGGAGUGUCCUUGCACAUUCCUAGUCCAAGCCACAUCUGCAUAGCACACUCCACAGUGCGUGAUCUUAAUCGAGACGUCUUCGCUUCCCACGGCCCUAAAGAGAUGAUUCCCAAACAGGUGAGCAUAUAAUCCAGUGACUAAUCAGACUAGGGUACCUUUUUUUUUCCAUUUUCAAGAUCAACAAACUAAGCUUGACCUACGAUUAUCGAGAAAACAAGAAACCAGAAAUGAGAAAAGGAAAAAUUCCAUGACUGCAAGCAUAUUUGUCCAUACGCUAGAUACAACCUCAAAUGCUCAGAAAGGCAGCCAGUACAGGAUCCUCAUGUCUGCCAUGAAAUUCUGAGUAACCCAUUACCAACAAUUCUCGACCCAGAAUUCAGCGCAUACACAACAAAAGAAAGAACGAAAAAAUGAAAUGGUCUGGACCGAAAACUGUCUCGCGUGAACACUGUACUGAGACUCUCGCAUGAACACUUUCGGUAGAAAUCGAAAAAGAAAAAAAAAUGGCAAUACCUGCGGGUGAAUUUGUAGGGGGAGAGGAACCCAGAAGGGUCCCGGGCAGCCCAACCGAGGCAAUCCUCCUUCCCACCCUCCGAGCUCAUCUUCUGUACCUACACACCCAGCGAAGCAAUCACACAAAUGGGUACGGUUAGAUUCAUCCAAAGGAGAAGAAGAAAGGGUGAGAACUCGAACGAGAAAGUGCCCAAGAUCAGAGACUCAACGGGUCAUCACUCGGCGAGGACUCGAGUCACAACGAGCUCGCCAUCACUCACCAACUCACUCACUCACCCACACCCACCUACCCAAACACAACCCCACGGGCCACAGCAACUCAGAGAGAGAGAGAGAGAGAGAGAGAGAUGACUACGGAGAUGGAGAUGAAGAGAGGUUACGCUGUGGAGUAUGCAGGAGCGCGAAGAGGGUGACGAGCCGAGCACAGUCGAGGACGGGAGGUUCAACGAAGACUUUUUUGCCCCCUCCUACUUCGCAGGAAAGCUGCGAGUAAUCCGAUGGAUUUUAUAGCGUUGGCCCGAGAUAGUUACGAAAAUAUUGGAAGGAAAAAUUAUCCGAAACUUUAACUCAACAUGUACCGUGAUCUAUAAGGAAAAAUAUAGUAUAUAGAAAUGAAAGAUGAGUAGAAAAAGAAAUGGACGAUUGCUGUCAAAUUAAAACUAUUCCCAAGUCAACUUGUCGGUCCCUUUCCUUCCAUUAUAAUCCUUUUUUAUAAUGUAACUGAAGAUUACUGGCUUUGUCACAACCAACGUAAACCCUCCAAAAGGUAAAAGAACUUAUGCAAAAGUAUAAAAAUGAAAGAUGUGUUGAAAAAAUGAGGACAAUAACCAAACGCGUGCAACUCAAUUGCACUUUUCGAUAAGGAUAAACUGUACCUCUCCUCAUCAUUGAAAGAGAUGGGAUUAAAUGCCUCUCCUCAUCAUUGAAAGAGAUGGGAUUAAAUGCAGACGUGAUUGACAUAGAGAUUAUCACAAGAAAUUAAAUAAAAAUAAGUCUUUCUUGGUAACGAGAUGUUUGUUCUCGUGACCGUGUAGGUCUUUCUAGGUUCUCUGACGCGUGCCAUGAGGUCAUGGCAUGUUAUGCAACCAAAUAUAUCCAUUCUAUAUUUCUAUGGUAACUAUCCAUCGUUACCUCCUGUGAACCUAAGAAGAACAAAACCAAUCCAUAAAGCUGUGGAGGAUCAAGAACAACCUGCCAUAAGUUAUUGAUGAACUCAGUUAAUUGUUCGAAGCCUUAGAAGCGAAUCAUUAAAACUUUAAGCAACUAAAAUGUCAGAUGCCAAACAGAAGGAAAAUCUACAGAGCCAACAUCUGGAUCGGAUCAAUGAUGGCAUAUCAACAACUAAGGGAAAAAUCUGCUACUAAAUAUUUAUCUGAAACUAGAGGAUGACGUUGCACUUGCAUAACUCCGUUAACGCAGAUCAAUGGUCAUGCUCUGUCUAGCUUUGUUAGAAGUUUGAAAACUCUACACGGACAGGCACUAUUUGCAAGAAGACGUGUUCCCUAUGCUCAUCUUUGUACUGAGCUGGAAAUGCUUUUAGCAGAUAGCUGUGCCUCCAGAAACAAAUCGCAUGAAGUGGCCCACAAUUCUCUGGCAAGUCCGGUGUCGUACGAAACUGAAGAAGAGUUGAUAGUCCGGCCCCUCCCACCAAAGAAAUACACACCAGAAAUUUCCUAUUUUUGCAAGACAGCGGCUAUUAGUAAGCACUGUUCCAACAUAUAAUAGCAGCCACAUAAGAUUGAUACCAUAGAUUAUCAGCAGAGAAGGGAAAAUCAAUUCUGGAAACAUACUGUCAUACCGUAGAAUCAACAUUAAUGGAUUUUACGUCCAAUGUUAGUGUGACCUCAGUUGAGGAUAAAACGAGAGAGACUCAUUCAAGAUGGUUCAGAUAAGUGAAGCACCAGUACAGGAAUGCUUUACACCAGCCUAUUUAGUGGGAAAAGAUCACUAUCACCCAUAAAUGCAGCUGUGGUUGCCUAUUGAGAUGAAACCCAGGUGAUUUCAUUGCAGUCCCAUCUAGCAUAUAGCAGAAAUUAAAGAUAAUGAUUGCAGUCAGAAAAACUCACAGGAGGGGCAAGGGCUGCAUCCAGAACUGAGUUGACCGCACCUUCAGGUGAAUCCAAAAGACCCAUUGCAGUUAAAAAUGCAAAAGCUGUGUAGGACAGGUAAGGGGGAACUUCUCGCAUGAUACUGGUUUUCACUACUCCAGGAUCCACAGCACUGGAAAUAAAAAAGAAACAGGAUAACAUCUCAAUUGUGCUGCCAGCAUGUAUUCAUACACAAAACUUUAGAGAAAGACAAUCUACAAAGCCUAAGUACAUUUUCUUGUUUAUAAUCAACUAGUAUAGUAUCUCUGAUAACAAAAACCAGGUUUUCAACUAAAAAGGGAUAGCUCAUAGAUUUGUGGAAAGUGGUAAGUGGAAAGUUCAAAUUCAACUACCAUACAAACUUAAGGGUGAGAUUACACUGUCCUACAAGAAUGCUUAAAUCCAGAGUGGCAGGAUUGUUGAUACAUACAGAAUGGAAACAUGACAGGAGCUUUCCAAGCGAAGGCGUCGAUGAAGUUCAUAUGAGAACAGCAGAAGGCAUACUGUAAACAAACAGGAAACUCUUACUAAAGUUUGUGAGAAGAUGUGACAUUUGCUUCUCAAAUAUUGCUGUAUCUUUUAUUCUAUCCUUUCCUUUUUGGUGCUAGGCUUCUCGAAUAAAACAUGAAACUUACAUUUUGAAUAACCAUAGAUCUGUGCACAUGGAUACUGUUUCAUCCUGAAGGAACUCUUCCCAAUAACACUUUCCUUGUCAAAUGUCGCACCACAUACUGAAGAAGAGGAGAACCGAGGAAAAGGAGAUUUUAAAUAAAUAAAUAAAAACUAUGACUCUAAACCUAGUAUAACAAUUGCACUAAAACAGAAACUGCACAGAGAAGUUGGACAGCAAGAAACUACAAGCAAACAAUACCAACUAUUUGACAUCAUAAAAGAGUUCUGUAACUUAGACAUUGAGUACAGCUAUAUUGCAUGUUCUAGUUUUAGCUUGCUAUCUCAGGCACUGUUAAAGUCCUAGAUGGGCACCAUAUUUAGUUCACUAAUUGAAUGAAAAAAUGACAUGCCAUAAGGGUCAGCAAGCCCGGGUUUCACAGAGGAACCUCCUUGCAGGCUGGCCACCGGCUGCAAUCAGUGUUCCACAGAUAAAUGGAAGUGUUUCUGACCACAAAGUGAAAAUAUCUUACCGCUUCGAUGUGUAAAGGACGUGACAUUGACUAUCCGGGAUGGAACAGGGCUGUUUCUGAGAAGUGGUAAUAAAUGCUUUGUCAAAAAGAAUGGUCCCAUGUAGUUCGUUGCCAUCAUCCUGGUGCAUAAAGAGGUGGAGAGAAGAAUCAACAGGAGAUCAGGCAACAAUGCAUUAUGAAAGACUGCAAUUAAUAAAUUCCAUUCCAAAAAGAGAAAAGCAAAACAGUGGGAGAUGCCACUUGCUACCGUGGCAACAAAUCUCCACAAGUAAACUACAAGUUGACAAGGUAUAUAGGAAAAUCAAAAUCACUAGAACAUUAGACUUUCAAUUGGGAAAGUGACGACACUAUUAUCGUUACUUAUUUAGAAAUUAGAACAUAUGCAUCUCAUUAGUUAAAUCUAAAACAACAGAAUAUAUAUUCUCCACUGUGACUGCUGUAGUGUUUAGAUUGCCAAAUAUUUGGAUCUUUGGAAAGAAUAUUGCAAAAAAAUUCCCAUGGCAAUAAGAUAAUUACUCAUCGAAGCCUUCAGCUGUAAUUCUGUAGGAUGUUGCCAACAUUCCAGCAUUAUUUAUCAGAAGCUGGACUGAGGCAUGCAUAUUUGAUUCCAACAGCCAUUGCUCAAGGGAGCAUCUGAAGUGUAAGAUUGACUCGAUAGAUGAUAUAUCAGCUUGAAAAGCUUUAAGAUGGGCAUCCUUAUUGUGUUUACAAAUCUCUGCCACUCUCUGUGACCCAAAAAAAAAAAAAGAAUCAUUGAGAGCAUCAUGUAGAGCAAAGAAGCUAAAACGGAUGCCGCACAACAAGUACCUCUGACAACCUGUGAGCAGACCGUCCAACUGCAGAGAAAGCAUAAAUUUCAGUUAAAUAAUUGUACCUGCAUGGAUCAAAACUCAUUCUUCUUGUAACAAAGAAAAGAUGCAUUUUGCAUUAACUCUAAGGACAACAAACAGUCAUUCGUACAUUAUUUGUCACAUUAAGCAAUUGACAAGCUUUUCUCUUUGCUUGAAUCACCAAGUAAAGACCAGAGAACAUUCAUAUAUCUACCCAUAACUCUUCCUAUGAGAGUGUUCAUCACAGACUGGUGGCAUUUAUGUAGACAGCCUAUUUUUUUUUCCUCCUAAUGUAGCUAUCAUCAGGAUGAUCCAGCACAAGCAAUCACAGAAAAUCCAGGCAUGGGGUUGAACUAAGUGUUGCUACAUCCAUAUCAAAGGAAUGAGGAGGAUAAACCACAGACUGCGACAUUACCAAGGACAACAACGAAACCUUCUUUUGAAAGAGCAUAAGCAGCCGCUGCACCCAAACCAGAUGUAGCCUGCAGGCAAAAGGCAGAGAAAGCUCUCAGUAGGAUAAUCUAAUUGAGGACAUUUGCUACUAGCAAAAGAAAUCCGUCUUACGCCGGUGAUAAUGCAGAGAGGUCUCAGAGGAACUUCUAUGUUGGCAUUUCGAGGGUAUGAAACAAUUCGACCAAAAAGACCACGGCUGAAGAAUUGCCAGUAUGAGGCCAGCAAAGAGAACGUCCAAAGUACUGCCAUUAUCCAGAAGUCUACUGUACAAAUGAAACAAAAAGCCUCGACCAACUCCUUUGACAUUAUUCUCAUCUUUGCCACCAUGGACUUCUUACCUGUGUUGGCAAAGUGAAAACAACAAAACAAAUUCAGGAUACUAAUAAAUCCAACAGAAAAGUAUAUGCGCACGGUAAAGUCCUAAAGUUUAUUGGAUUAGGUAGUGGAACUCGAAUUUAAAUCAAGUGAAUGUCACAAUUAAGUACUGGAGAGACCCAAUCUACGGAGAAAACACGCACCCUUACAUGACCAGUGCAGCAAAAUGAGUGCCUUGUUAUUUGACAGUCAGAGUUGAGACCUCAGUGUUCAGUCUACAGGAAAAGUUUUAGCAACCUCGAGAGAGGUAAGAACUAGGCAGAUCUCACUAUGCAACCAUAAAUCAACUAACUUCAGGUGUACUUUCAAACAAAUUCUUUGACCAAGCAUCUGAGGGAAAUCAACAAUACAGAGUUCAACAUUCUAGUUCGUAAAUACUUUGGCCUUUUCAUUGUCAUGUAUGAAUGACGGUUUCCCUAUUGUUUAGAAUGUACAGCUUUGAAGUGUCUUAAUGCCACCUUGUCUUCCCACCACAGCAAACACAGACCCAGGUAAAGGAAUCAAAUGUUAAAUCCAGUCUUAAUAAAUUUACACAUCACAACACACAACCCAGUGAGCUUACUUCAUCGGUUAGAGUCACCAUGCUCACCCAGAGUAACAAGCACACCAUCAAAAGUAAGAUUAACAGAGAUAGCAAAUGAUAUAGCUUGUUUCAAAAUGAAAUUCUGUUCAUUUCCAAGCUCCAGACUUUCCACAUCAAAGCUUGACGUCUACUCACCCUAAACAGACGCAGCUAUAAAAUUAUCAUCUACCAGCAGAACUCGUGAAAUUCCACACAAUUCAAACGGGCCUACACGCACGUCACCGACCUAGACACGUUCCCUAUUAAACAUUAAACAAUCACCACCCCAAAUCAUCUCCAAGCUCAACGUCCUCACCAUGCAACAGCUCCAGAGCUCCAAAAAGACCCAACAAGUUUUUCGCCAACCUUCACGUCAACUCAAGCUCCCCCGCUCACUUCCUCCCUGACAAUACACACCCCCCACGAAGCGCGCUCUAAGAAGCAUUACGUCAAACACAUUGGGGACAUCGAAACUCCGGGCAGAGUUCUCCCACGAACCCAACGCAAAUGGGCAUCCACGAAAACAGGAACUUGCAGAGAGGCGAACGCGGGCGCUCGUGCAGAUCACUGUAAAGCUAUUGCAACGAAACGUGAAGGGUUGCGCCGGAAACGAAAGGGCGACUCACGGGGAACGUGAAAGGGUCGAAGGAACGAAGGAAGGCGAGAGCAGAGACGGGUCGCCUCGACUCGACACGGUUCUCGUCGAAACCAGGAGAGUCUUGAGAUUGACUGGAGGAAAAAUCCGAGCUUUACAAAAAGUUAGAUGCAGGAUGAGACGAACAUCCGGUUCUUCAACCCGAGUAAAAGCGUUGACACUAAGGGCAAACUUUUCCUUGCAUAUUAGGGAGAAUUAAGUGGGAAAUUUUCGUUUAUCGAAUUCGCCAACAUGUUUUCCAAAAAAAAAAAAAAGGAAAAAAAGAAAUCACUAACGUAAUUUCAUUCACUAUCACCCCUUUUGAAAAAUCAAAUCCAUGCAUGGGACCGAUUAAAUUUCAUUCGUCAAUCAGUACUCUUUUGUAUGAGAACUUGAAGAAAGAAUGACUCGCAAAAUACAUAAAAAAAAAUGGAACAUCACAAGAUAUGCAAAAAUUACUGUAAAAGAAUCAUAGAUUACAUGUUCUAACAAAAAGGAAUCAUUUAUUGCAUUUGUGUGAUGUAAACUAUACUGGAAUUAUUUCUUGUAAAUCUUGAGAGUGGUAGUAAUUGUGUCAACAUUUGGAAUCCUAUUAGGGAUAAAUAUAUUGAAAAUAUUAAAAUUUGUCACGAAGUUACAAUUUAACCCUAAAAUUUGACCAAAAAAAAAAUUCCAAUCAAAUUCUAAAAUUUGUUACAAAGUGUAAUUGAAUUUUUAAAACUUUUAAAAAGUACAUUCAAGUUCUAAAUUUUAUUAACAUUUUUCGUUUGUCAAAUUUGAUGGAGUUUAGGAAAAUACUUGAUUAUAUUAACUUGUCAAGUUGGCUUGGGCCAAGUUUGGCAUACCUAUAGUCCGUCGGAUCCAUGUUAAGGUCUACUAGCUUUGACCCUCCCUAGCUUUUGGGCUGGAUUGGGUCGCUGCGCCCAGCCCUUGCAGGAUCUCUCUCUCUCUCUCUCUCAACUUUCCCUAUGUGUUUUUUGGUUACUUUAACAUUUUUAUUUGUCUUUUGAAUUAAUGAUCUCACGUGGCAUGGUUCAAAUUACUGGGGUGUCAGAACCAAAACCAAAACUAAAAUCUAACCGAAAUUUCAUGCAUUUUUUAUUUGAUUUGGUUUUGGUUAGGAUAAUAGAAAGAUAACGGUUAUUUGUUUUCGAUUUGGUGAAUCGAACUGAAAUCCUUAAUACAAAUAAAUGCACAACUUAAAAUCCCUCCUUUUUCUCAUCUCUUAUUCUAUUUGAUUCCAAUGAGAAGGUAAAAAUCAAAAAACCAAAAACUGAAAACUGAAUUGAAAAUAAUCCAAUCGGAUUUUUAGUUCAGUUUGUAUUUGAUUCAGAUCGCAACUUGGUUUGCUUUAAUUACUUAUCUUAUCAGUUCGGUUUGGUUCGGACUUUAGGACAUUCGAACUAAAUCGAAACGUUGACGCCCCAUUAGCCACAUAGAUGAAGUCAUGUCUAUAAUUCAACAACGUUAAUUAUGAUGGUUGACGACAGAGUCAGCAAGAUGCAAAAGAUAUAGAAAUACAUCAAAAGAAGGAAAAAAUAGUUAGAGGACCCAAUCGCAGGAACAUCAGUACUAUAUCGAGAACAAAAAAUUGCUAUGAACUAAAUCAUACAUUAAAAGUAGGAAACAAGGAGAACUAACACGACCGUUAAUAGCAGCAUUGACAUCUAUGUCCAUGGAGAAUUUUUCUUACGCAACUACCACAGGUGGAUCCCAGCUAAUUUGCUGUCUAUCUAAUCCCGGGUGAAAACGGUCGGGCCUUGGUUCGGAGCCGUCGAGGACACACGACCAUCCUCAACGCUCCAAGCUCGUCCUCCUCCGGCGCAGUGGCUCGGCCUCAUAUCCUCUAAGCUUCACGGCUUUGUAAGUCACGGCGCCAGCUAUGGCUCCGAGCGGAGGAGCCACCAUGUACAUCCACAAUCCUUUGUAGUUCCCUGCGGCCACGGCCGGGCCGAGAGUCCUCACGGGGUUCAGGGAACCUCCGGUCGGCAUCCUGCAUUUCCCGGGAACAUUGUUAAGGAACAUUAUGAAAGCUAAAAUUCUGUAACAACGCGUCCAUACUUGCACGCCCGAAGGUGAGUAGUUUCAGUACAAUGCUUACCCUGUCACAAGAACGCCAAGCAGCACCGUUGCUCCGAUUGCAAUACCUGCCAAAUCUCCUACCUAUCAUCAGAAAAAAGGAACAAAUGUAAGUGAAAUGGAUACAUGCUGUAUACAGAUGCCACGAGUACAGAUAGAGGAAGAGUCGAUAUGCAGCAUGGCGACGUACUGCACGAGUGUCGGUCACCACCGCGACGAUCACGAACGCGAGAAUGAAAGUGGCGAGAAACUCGAGAGCAAACGCCUGUCCGAUGUCCACCGAAGGCACCGUGACGCCGCCGUUGGCAAAGGGAUGGAAAACGCCCUUGAGGACGUAGGAAGCACACAUCGAGCCCGCAACCUGCGCCGCGAUGUAGCCAGGCACCUGGAUCCAUGGAAAGUGCCAGAUCACCGCGAGGGCGACUGUCACCGACGGGUUCAGGUGGGCUCCUGAAAUGUGACCGAUCGAGAAAACUAUGAUCAUCACGGCGAGCCCAGCGCAUGCCGCGUUCCCAAGCAACGUCUCUGCUCCGUUGUACUUUUGGUUCACAAUGGGCCCGCCCACCGCGCAAAGUACUAAGAAGAAGGUUCCAACGAACUCUGCUCCGACCUGCAUCGUUCAUGUAAAUCUAAAUAAGAAAAUCUAUCCUAUCUUUCUUUCUUGGUUUCACUCGCUAUGAAAAGGCAUAAGAAUUAUCAGUUUAUGCUGCAACAGCUAGCGAGCCUGUCUAAUCUUUACUGAUCUUUGAGGUCGAUUGGGCUUUACCUUCCGCAACGAAUCAUACUUAUCCGGCUGGAGACGCCGAACACCUUCCGUUGCACCGUCACUCGGCGCACACCACUUGCACUGUACCACGGACCCGUCCUCCGGCAACGAUGAGUCCACUUGCAACGUCACAGAUGCCGGUUGGCACAUCUUCUCUUGCCUGGACAGCUCGAUGGAGAUUAAGGGAGACCAGAGGUCGCGAAUAAAGGAUCAAGAGAUCGAUGAGAAGAGAGAUCAAGACGAGAGGGAGCCUUCAGUCUGUUGCCUCCGUCUAUGAUAGUUGAUUGCAGCGACCCCAAAAGCAUUUUAUAGGAGAGAAGACAACGGCUUUAACAUCGCCAACAUCAUCUUCUUGUUCACUAGUUCGGCUUGUUGACUCGCUCCAUAGGAUUCGGUCAUUCAUAGUAGUUCGGACUGUCUGCACCUUGACUAGAUCUAGGGUUACUCUAUACAAGUAAUGAUUUGACUCGGUUUGGCAUGCUCAGAAAAACUUGGAGGGCACGUUUCUAUUUCUGAAAUUUAGGUGUGCAAGUCUACAUUUGUGGACCAGAUAUUGAAUAUUUAAGACCGAUUCUAUAAAGAGAAGAUCCAUCAAAACGUAUUUUCUUUUUUUUGUUUGGGGGGGAAGAGUUAAGGGCUGCGUUUGUUUUGAUUUCUUUUUUCUGUUUUUAAACAAUUUUUUUUGUUUUUUUGUUCCUGGGAACAAAAAAGGAACAGAAACGCGUUUGUUUGCAUUUUUAUUCCAAAAUUAUUUUUUUGUUCCCAGAAACACAUCUGGAACAAAAACAAGAAACAAAAAAAAAAGUUGUUUCUUGUUUCUGGAACAAAAUUUAGGAACACUUUCUUCUUCUCUCUUUUUUCUUCUUCUUUUCUUCUUCUUUUUUCUUUCUUUUUUCUUUGGCCGGUCGCCGGCCUCAACAAUUGAACCUUCUCAAACUGUUUCUUCUUAAGAACCAAAAAUAUUUGUGCCAAAAUAACAGAUGCCAAGAAGAACAAAAGGCCUUGGACACGGAAUGGAUCUUGAAGUACUAUUUCCGCAUCUCCUUGACCAAAUCCACCCACAUUAGGAUUACUCGUUAAUGGCUGAUCAAGUUUGAUAGAUUCGCCUUCGGAAACAAGAAGUUCUGGCCCUGGUGGAAUAAUAUCAACCACUUGACGUUCAUCUGACGCAUCCGAUAUGGUUAUUUCGUACCCCCCUUUUUCUUUUCGUAUGAUUUUACUUACUACACCAGCCGCUGUAGCAUUAUAAACUGUAUUGUUACUCUUGCUCCCAUCGGGAUAAAUCUGACCCAUUCCUCUGUUCCCGCCUACAUAUAUGGGAUAUUUUAAGAAGUGAACAUCUUUAUUAGUAGCGGGGUCCGGGGAAAGAAUAGGAAAGGUGACUUCACUAUAUUUCUGACCAGAAACAGGACCUAUCACAAGAAUAUUUUUUUUAUUGGGGCGAUAGCUCUGAAAAGACAGAUUGCCUAUCUUUUCUUUCAUCUCGGGCGAAAUACGAUCGGGAGGUGCUAAUUCAAAUCCCUCAGGUAAAAUAAGAACAGCCCCCACAUUCAAACCUCCCAUUUUACCAUUAGCAAGAACUUGUUUAACUUGCAUAUCAUAAGGAAUUCGAACAACUGCUUCAAAUACAGUAUCAGGAAGUACCGCUUGCGGAACCUCAAUAUCCACGGGCUUAUUAGCUAAAUGGCAAUUGGCACAUACAAUACGUCCGGUCGCUUCUCGUGGAUUUUCAUAACCCUGUUGUGCAAAAAUGGGAUAUGCAUUUGAAAUGGAUGUCCGAGCUAUGAUAUAUAUCAUCAGCGAUACGGAAAUAGAUCGAAUAAUCUCUUUCUUUAUCCAAGAAAAGGUGUUUUUAGUUUGCAUGGUCCAAUCAUUGAUCCCGAAAAUUUCUACAAUAAAAUUAGGUAGGUCGCUUGUAUAGUUCCCUAUCCACAAUUCUGCUAUUUACUUUAUUGAAAUCAUUUUACUGGAAUAUAAGGAGUAGGAGAAAUCCCUGUAGGGUAGAAAGAGUAAGUACGUCUUAAAAUGGAAAUGCUUUGCUUAUGUACCUUAUGUUACAAAGUAACAAAUAUUCUAGUUAGAUCAGUCAUUCAUUGAAUGAUAAAUCACUACAAGUGAUGGAGAUAUACGAUUUAAAUAGCGGAAGAUCCAAUAUUUAAAAAUUGUAUCCAGAAUGACUGGAAAAGUAGAAACAAGACCCGAUAUAAUUUGAUCGUUGUGAGCAAAUCCAAAAUCUUUGUAGACAUAGCCAAUCAUUAGUUCCCAACCAUGGGGCGAAUGGAAUCCGAUACAUAAAUCAGUUAAUAAAAGAAUAGAAAAAGCUUUUAUUGUGUCACUUAAGUUAUAUAGGAAUUCUUGAACCCAAGAGUUAAGAAUAGCAAGUUCUUCAUUACCCAGAAUAGAAUAACCACUUAAAAUAAUGAAAGAGGUUAUAUUUGUCGAUAAGUGAAAAAUCAUAUGGAUAUGAUCCUCAUUGUGCAUCUUGAUCAAUUGGAUCGUUUCUUUGUGGAUUCCUAUACGAAGUGUUUGUAGAUGUGUUUCCGGGUAUUCUUUUAUCAUUUCGUCCAAGAGUAAGAGUUCUUCCAAUUCGAUGAAUUUUUCUAGAAUACUCUUUUCUUGAAUAUCAGUCAAAAAAGUUUCGGAUUGCCUAGUAUUCCACCAAUUAGUAAUCCAAAAUUCAAGACUUUUAUUAAAUGAGAGAGAGAUCCACCAGGGCAAAAAUACUAUAGAUGUAAGAUAUAGAAGAGGAAGAAAUGCUUUCUUUUUUACCAUUUUUUCAUCUUUGAAUUGUUAAUGAAUCCACCUCAUUUGUUGAAUCUAUGUGAUCUACUAUUUCUAUUAACCCUAAGUUCUAUUACAGGGCAUCGGGCCUCGGCCAUGGCCGGCGACCGGCAGUCGAGGGCCGGUGAGGCCGAGCGUCGCCGGCCCUUGGUGAGGCCGACCUCGCGCCGAGCUAGGCGAGCUCGGCCUCGCCGGGCCACUGCCAGGUCGGCAUCGCCUGGCAGUGGCCCGGCGACGCCGAGCCUCGCCAGCCACUGAUUGUCACUUGCUUUUAGUCAUGCAUUCAAAACUGUAAGAUUCAUGCACUAUAAGAUAACCAGACAAGCGAAAAAAUGAUGUGCAUUUCAGUUGAGGUGGCAAGACCAAUUAGAUUGAAUUCAAACCAAAUAAAGCUUGACGCAUAAAAGAGAAAUGUUGUGCAUUGAGCGAAUAUAUGACAAAAUAAGUGCAAAGAGAGUCAUUGAUGUUCUAGCACUUUGGCCAAUUGAGUUCUUAAAAUUUUACUUUGCUUAAUUGAAUCCUUAGCAUUUUCAAUUUUAAUCAAUUGAGUCCCUCAAGCUUGAUCCUCGGAAAUAGCCACAUGGCUAUGAUUUUCCAAGUUGAUAAGAAGAUGCUCGACAAUAAAACCAGGUGAGCCUCUCAAGGGCUUCAUUGGCAUAAUCAUCAGUAUCACUUCGAUUUUUGGGUAUACGUGCUACACCGCACAGAGGUCUAUCAUUUCUUGGAUAUACUUCAUACCUCCCGUAGUGCUACCCGAAACGGUUUUCAUACCUGCAAAAAGUUCAUUGUGAGCAACUUACUUUCUUCACCUAUCAGGUAUCAAUAUUUCAUUCAGUAAUGAGCUUUGAGAACAAAAACAUACCGAGGUUAAGGCUUGCUGCAUUGAAUUUAAUUUCGCUUUGGGACCCAACCGAUGCUAGAACGCCACCCGUCUUCAAAAGAGACAUGUAAGGAUCAAAUGGGUGAUCAGCAGAUACCGUGUCAAUUAUAAAGUCCAGGGACUUAGCCAUGGCUUGCAUGUUACGAUUCAUCAGAUCACGGCAGCACUUGACAUCCAUGGAUCUAAAGUAUUAAUAAUUCAAAAUCUUCCCGUUUACCUUCAUAUGUUCUUGGUCAGAUGAGAUAACGAAAUGGUCAGCACCAAGCAAGCUCAGUGCUUCCUCCUUUUUAGAAAUGCUUGUACUGAACACGGCAACUUUCAGUCCAAAAGCCUUCCCAAGCUUAAUUGCCAUCUGACCGAGCCCACCAAGUCCAAUUACGUCGAAAGACUUACCCGGUUGGUUCAUCUUGUGACGCACCAUUUGAAUGUAUACUGUGAUUCCAUCACAGGGCAAUGGUGCUGCUAAAGCCAACGGGUAGUUUUCUGGAAUCCUAAGGCAAUACCUGUCAAUGAAGCACCACAAUUAAGUUUCCAAAUCAUGUAAUUUUUCUAUUCCCCUCGAUCAUGUCUCUAAGGGACACGAUAUUCCUGUGACUGUUGGAUACAAGAAUCCGUGAAAGCAUAUACAUUUCAUUACCCAUUUGAUCUAACACUUACUAUCUAACUCUUGGGAACAAUCUAAAAAAAGGGAGGAAGCGGAGACAAAAGGCAAGGAUUGAGCAAUUUCCAUCUCUCUCUCUCUCUCUCUCUCUCUCUCUUUUAAUUAAGGGUUAAUAUCCUAAAAAAUCCCAAAUUGGUACACAUGUAACAAAUUUACCUUGACAGACUAUAAAAAACUCUAAACUUAUAUAUUUAUGACAAAUUUACCCCAAACUAAUUUAUUUGACCGCAAAAAAUCUCAAAAUGGUAAAUUUGUAACAAAUAUACCCUUCACUAAAUUGGAUUAAUACCACAAAAAGAUCACAAAAAUUGUAAACCGUGACAAACGGAGCAUGAAAUCUCAAAUUGGUAUUACUAAUCAACUGUCACGUGCCAUUUAACUUAAUAAUUUGACAGUAAAAUUUAAUGAAAACUAAUAGAGGGUAAAUUUGUCACAAGUGUACUAGUUUAGAGUAUAUUUGUCAAAAGUAUACCAGUUUGGAGUUUUUAGUGGUCAAAAAACUAGUUUAGAGUAAAUUUAUCAUAGGUGUACCAGUUUUGAGUUUUUUAGGGUAUUAACCCUUUAAUUAAUUUAGUUUUAAAUUUAAUGUUAUUAAUGUUUCAUGAAAAUUCAUAUGUUAGAUUUAUUGGCUCACAUGUCAUUGUCACUUGAUGUGUAUGAUAUAUAGAAUAGUCCAAGAGUUUUGACUUUAGAUGCUUGGGAACUCGCGAAUGGUCAUACAUUGUCGGUUACACAUUCAAUAUGAUGUAUUAGCUAAUCAUAGUCCUCUAACGGUUUAUAUUUGCUUAAUAUAUUUCAAGAAUAUUCAUUUGUUAGACUUGUCCGCUCACACGCCACUGUCACUCGAUGUAUAUGAUAUGCAGAAUAGUCUAAGAGCUUUGACUUUAGACACUUGGGAGUGUCUAUGCUUGUUUUAUGUCUGUUAUGCUUGCAAUGCUUCUGGUUUUGAGUGGACAGUACAAAUAUUUAAGUCCAUGUCAAUUUGAACAAUUUUCUUUAUUAUAGAGCAACCGUCUUUAAUCUAUUGUGUUCUUGACCACAAAAAACCAAAUAACAAAUAAGUAUUAAUUAUUGUAGGGUCCAACAACAAUCUUUAAUCUAUUGUGUUCUUGACCACAAAAAACCAAUUAACAAAUAAGUAUAAAUUAUUGUAGGGUCCAACAGCAAUCUUUAAUCUAUUGUAUUCUUGACAACAAAAAACUAAAUAAUAAAUAAGUAUACAUUAUUAUAUGGCCCACUCCUUUAAAAAUUUGUUGCUCACAACAACUUAUUUAUUCUCAUAAUAACCCAAAGUUAUGCUAGCAAAGCUCUUUUGAGUAAGUGUAUUGAAAGUUUUAAAAACUUGUCACUAAAGUGCAUUAAGUCCUGAAACUUUCAAAAAAUACAAUUUAAUCCUAAAAUUUGUCACGAAAUGCAAUUGAGUCUUAAAAUUUUCAAAAAGUAAAAUCAAUUAUAAAGAUUUAUCAAUAUUAUAAGGGACAAAACCAAAAGCUGCAUGCAAUAAAUCAGACAAAAUUCAUUAAUUUAUGACCAUCAAGCAAGCGUCAGACAUUAGCAAAUGAAUGUAUUAGCAAUCGAAAAUACAUCGAAAACAAAAAGUUAAAAGCUCAUAUCUACCUUUCAUUCUUAUGCUUUGUAAGCCCCUCUGACCUUAGUGACCGCAAGGAUUUUACUGUGGACUCAAUGAGAUCCAUCUCAAGCUCCACCCUUUCAUGUGUCCAGCACUGAAGCAAAAGGAAAAUCGCAAUAAUGCGAUGAGGAUGAAACUAACCCAUUGAAUUUCUGAGUAAUCCAUCAAGUACAAGUUACCCAUCAUUCGGCCACUAAGCUCCUCCACUAUGGCCCUCAAUUGCUGGAUGCUUACUACGAGCGCUUCAUCCCUUCGUAUGAAGUCAACAUUUCUUUGAUUCACACUUUCUUUGCAUGACAUAUUUUAAACCUACAAGUAAACGUUAGUCACAAAAAUCCUCACCAAUUGCUCCCUCACGUGUUUCUCUCAAUGUGUUUGUCACUCCCCUCGUGUUUAACUCAAAUUUAGGCUUUUUCCCUCUCGUAUUCUCUUUUCACAAGUUCUUUAUUGGACUCAAAAUCAGUCUCUCAGCCCCCUCACGACAAUCAAUCAAAAUAAUCAAACAAGAUUAGAUUACUAUUAAUUUUGUUUCAGCAAGUAACAAUUUCAAACCAACAAGUAUAACUUUCGAAAUUCUAAUUGAAACGCAAAUCACUACUGAUUUUGUUUCAAUUCGGUCCACAGUCGCCUUCUUGAUUUUUUUUUGUUCAGCUUUUUUUUUCUGCUGAAUCUUUUUUUUUUCUCUAGCGCACUUUUUUUUUGUGUGCGUUUUCUUUCUCUUCUUUUUUUUUUUUUACGAACUUUCUUUGUUUUUUUUUCUUUCUUUUUUGACAAACUCAGAUACAAUUUAAGAUGAUAGGAAAAAAAAUAUUAAAACUAACAGCAAACAAUUACGUAUGGAAGCACAAAAGUAAUCAGAUCCCUAAAUUGGCUAGAACCGAAACCCUAACUCAAUAAAUCUCAAAUUGCUGAAUAUAAACAGAAAAUUAAAGAUAAAUAGACAUUGUAGAAGUAAGCUCUGAUACCAAAUGAUGUCAAUCGUUGUGGAAAAAUCAUUCUACGAAGGCCUGGAUGGUGCGAAUUGCAAACCUCGACCUCCAAUCAAACCUGUGAUUGAUAACCUCGAUAUGAACGUGAUCAAACCUACGAUUGAGAACCUCGGUAUGAACGUGACCUAUUGACAAACGCAUGUCAACCAACCAAACCCACGAGCGAAAGAAUAAGGUUAAGUUCUCAAAAAAUAGUAGAAAAGAAUCUCUCAACUUUUUUCAUCCAUAUAUAUAUAUAUAUAUAUAUAUAUAUAUAUAUAUUGACUUGGUCAAAUAUUUGAUGAUCAGAUAAUCAAAUUGUGCAAAGAUUUCUAAGAUUCUUCAAGAUUUAAUCCAAAGCCAUCUCUACGCCGAAGAUCAUGAACCAUGACGCUAACAGCUUACUUGAAUUGCUUGGCUCGUGCUCGAGUAAUUGAACCAGUAGGAAUAGACAAUGGGUCUCUAGCACCACCUCAUCGAUAUGGCUUGAUGUCCACAUCAUAAUGCAUGCGAAGGAACAAGCCGAUUGCCACUUGAUGUUAGUCAUUCAUGCAAAACUGUAAGAUUCAUACGCUAUAAUAUAGCCAAACAAGCAACCAAAAAAAAAAAAUAAAAAAUAAAAAACUAAAAAAAUGAUCUGCGUUGCACUUGAGGUGGCAAGGGCAAUUAGAUUGUAUUGAAACUAAAUGAAGUCCGUUGCAUUAAAAAGACAAUCAAAUGAUGCAUUGAUCAAACCUUCUCUUCCUUCUUCUUUUUCCUCUCCAGGUCUUCCACGCCUUCCGACUUGUUAUCCGGUUGAGACUGCACGACCCACAUCGACUCAUCAAUCUGAUCAUUACAAUCAUAGACUUGCCAUUUCCACAGCUAACCCAAUAACUCAAGCUACAAUCAGACGAGCUUCCACCCAAGAAAACAUACCAUUUCGAUGGUUGGUAAGCGUGAGACUGCAACCAAAGUUCGAUUCCGACAAGAGAAAGCACCGGGACAGAUGGUUGAGCUCCGUUUAGAAGUAGACCCAACAGCCGCCGGCGAACAAGGGUGGCGACCGUGACUUCAAAGAGACGACUUGACGGCGACCGAGCUCGGCGGAGGCGAGGGCGGCGGGACUUGUCAGCAGGGAUUUUUCUGACAGUGUCAGACUGGCACGACUCUGACGUUUUUUUAAUUAACUAAAGAAAGAAAUUCGUAAUACGACGUGGGCAGCCCGCAGGAGGGCGAAAUAAGAGUUUCCUGUUCUUAUUUUAUUUUAUUUUUAGCCUUUUCUGCUUAUUAGCAAAUAAAAUUUAUUAAUUUGACACGAACAUAUAGUGGUGUAUUUCCUACUAGUAAUAUAAAUUUAUAGAUUUUAAGGGAAGACUUGGAUCGUAAUUGUCAUUGGAGAGGAAGUGAAUGAUGAUAUAACAUGAGUUAAUAGACGUAAGUGAAAAAUGUCACAAAAGAAAUCGUGUUCCGAUAUUAAUUUUGUCAAUAUAUUGAAAAGGCAACAGGUUUCGUAUUCUUCUGGACAGAAAUGAAAGGUCAAAGGGAAACGAGAAGGACUGAGCAAAUAAAUGACAAAAUAUGAGCAAUGGAAGUCAUUGAUCGUUUGCCGUUUGACUGAUUGGAUUCUAAAUAUUUUAUUUUCAAUUGGGGUCUAAAUAUUUAUUUGGUCCAAUUGACUUCUAAACAUUUCCAAUUUUAGUCAAUCACGUCCCUCGAAUAUUAUUGUCGGAAAGAGCCACAUGGCUGUGAUUUUCCAAGUGGCCAAGGAGAUGCUUGAGGAGAAAACCUGUAGGAGAGGCGAAGCCAUUCAAGCAGAACUCUCAAGAAGCCAAUUUUUCAGACAGUUUCUCAAUCAUCACAUAGAAAAGUACCAGGAUUUCAUUACCCAUUUCACUUAUUUCUGCUAUAAAACUUACGGGUAUCGAAGUAUAUCAGGCAUAGUUUAUUUGUACUCCAGCAGAGAUAGUAAAAAGGCACAGAUGAUGCUCUCCUCUAGCUGAAACUCCCACUUUUCCUCUCUGUGUGAUCAGCUUUGCCAGCAACAAUUUCCAACUUCCCAAAUUGAUGUUCAAAUUUAAUCAAAUAGACUCAGAGAAGAAAACACACGAGAAUUGUUGCUAUAACUCUUGUUACUUUAUUCAUCAAAACAUCCAAAUCACUUAGCAAGAAAAUAGCUAUAGAACAACAACAACAACAAAGACCCACUGACAUACCCCACCGACCAAACAUGUGGAGAAACUAACUCCUACAAAAAAGCCACUUCCUAUUGACUAGGACUCCACUAUUACAUUAUUGAAGACACGUAAAAACUGUAAGUUAACUACUUCAACAAUUGAUGGUGUCACUUCAAGGAGUUCUCAAUGUCGAUCACGAAUCGAUACUUAACAUCUCUCUUGAUGAGCCUCUCCAGAGCUUCAUUGGCAUAAUCAAUCGGUAUCACUUCAAUAUUUGGGUAUAUCUUCUGCGCUGCACAUAGGUCUAUCAUUUCUUGGGUAUCCUUUGUUCCUCCCGUUAGGCUACCUGAAACAGUUCUCAUAUCUGCCAAACGUUCACCACGAGCAACUUAGUUCACCUAUCAGGUAUGAAAUUUCAUUUAGUAAUCAGAUUUGAGAACAAAAACAUACGGUGGUUAAGGCUGGCUGGACUAAAUUUAACUUCGCUCGAGCCGACCAAUGCUAGAAUGCCACCCGUCUUCAAAACAGACAUGUAAGGAUCAAAUGGGUGAUUGCCGGCUGCCGUGUCGAUUAUAAAGUCUAGGGACUUAGCAAUGGCCUGCGUGCAUUGGAUUUAUCAGAUCACAACAGAAUUUGACCACCAUGGAUCUCAAUGUGGAUAAUUCUAGUUUUUCCUUUUUUUACCUUCAUCUGCUCUACGUCAGAUGAGAUAACGAAAUGGUCAGCCCCAAGCAGGCUCAGUGCUUCCUCCUUUUUAGAAAUGCUUGUACUGAACACUGUGACUUUUAGUCCAAAAGCCUUCCCAAACUUAACUGCCAUAUGACCGAGCCCGCCAAGUCCAAUUACACCUAGAGACUUACCGGGUUGGUUCAUCUUGUGACGUAUCAUUGGAGUGUACACCGUGAUUCCAGCACAGAGCAGUGGCGCUGCUAGAUCCAUCGGGUAGUUUUCUGGAAUCCUGAAGCAAUACCUGUCAAUGAAGCACCACAAUUAAGUUUCCAAAUAACACCAAGAGAGGAAGUGAUUUCCCAAUAGAAUCAGCAUCCUGUCUUUUUUGUCUAAAAGGAAUCAAAUCACAGAGCCAGAAAUCCUAUCUUCCGCAUGCUUGGGAAUGUUACUUGCUUAGACCACAAUUCAGCAUCAUGUUGUUUCCGUGAUCCUUGUUCUGACCACAAAUUGCUCAAGACAAACAUUUCUUGCUGUAGCAACGAAAAUAACUCGAUUAAAAUUAAGAAAAGACACUUGCUCUAAGAAAGGAAACUGGUGGCAUAUCACAUAUGCUUGACUGAACACGUAAUUUCUCUAUUUCUUUCAAUCAAUUCCUCCGAAGGACUCAAGAUUCCUGUGGCUCUAUCAGAUACAAGAAUUAGUGAAAGCACAUACAUUUAGCUACCCAUUUGAUCUUAUACUUAUGAUCUAACUUUAACAAUCUAAGGACAGCUUAUUCCAUUCUUGACAAUGGUUAUUGAAAAGAAAGAAUUUCUUUUUGCAUUUAAUAAAGCCAAUUCUCCAUUGAAUGGUCUGAAUGGUAAUUGGAUACAGAGGACUUAAAGACCCUCCAGAGCCGUUAUAGAAAGUAUCUUUAUCCUUUUCCACAAGAUGCAUUAUGCUACUUCUGGUCACAAUCAGAAUACGAAGAAAAUUAGCAGAGAAGAAGACAUGACAUGAAAUCUUUUUUUGGCCACCAUGAUUUGAAAUUCUUUCACAGUGCAAAAUGCUGCCUAAUAACAUUGUGUUAAUAAGCAAUUACCUUUCAUGGACGACAAUGUGACUAGAAUAUCCUCCCUUUGUCACUGUACCGUCCGUAUCGAUUCGGUCAAAAGUCAAAACCAUCUUUUCACAAUGGACUUCUAGCCCGUCAUUGCAAUACUCGCACUCUCUGCAUGAAUUGACAUAAGUUCCCACACCCACAUGAUCGCCAACUUUGAAGCGUUGGACACUGGAGCCAACCUGUUUCACAAUUCCAACUAUCUCGUGCCUGAAUCAAUCAAAAAAGUCAUUCGCAAAUUUUGUUCAGAGAAUUAUUAGGAUGGUGCUAAGAAAAAAGAUUAACAUUCGAAUCACGCUGCAUCCUACCCUGGCACCAGAGGAUACUUGGAGGUUCCCGACAUAUUCCUAGUCCAAGCCACAUCUGCAUAGCACACUCCGCAGUGCGUGAUCCUAAUCGAGACGUCAUCGCUUCCCACGGUCCUAAAGAGAGAAUUCCCAAACAGAUGAGCAUCUAAUCAAGCAACUAAUCAGACUCAGUUACCUUUUGUUCUCAUUUUUCAGAUCAAUAAACUAAGCGUGACUUACAAUAAUCAUACAUUCAACCCAAAAAAAAAUUUAAGAAAAGAGAAAUGAAAAGGAACCAAAUCCAUGACUAUAGGCAUUUGUCUGAAUAGUACAUACAACCUCAAAUGCUCACAAAGGCAGCACCCGAAUCCUAAUGUCUGCCAUGAAGUUCUAAGCAACUCAUUCUGGGACAUGACAUAUCAUGCGUACAAACAAUUCUCUACCCAGAAAUUAGUGCAUACACAACAAAAUUUAUAAAAGAAAAACGAAAUGGUUUGGUCAAUGUGGAAAUUUAAAUAUAUGACAAGCAUCAAAAACUGUUUUGCAUUACAGGUGAGAGGAUAAGACCUGAGAACACUGUAUUGAGACUUAUUCAGACAAAUACUUCAAUAGAAAUUGAAAGUAUAAGGAGCAGAUGAAUUAAAUAAAGAACAGUGGUAACAGUAAUACCUGCGGCUGAAUUUGUAGGGGGAGAGACGUCCAGAAGGAUCUCUGGCAGCCCAACCAAGACAAUCUUCCUUCGCACCCUCUGAACUCAUCGUUCCUCACCGACCUCAACUGAAAUCGACCCACAAAAAAAUUGCUGUGUUAAUCUCUCAAUAAGCUGAAUUAUGGAAGAAGAAGAAGAAUUAUUUUCGUGAAAGAGAAAUGAAGAGAAAAUCAAACCGGAAAACAGAAGUUCAAAUGGUCAAAAGGCCAAAUGUCACGAAGACUUGGCAAUUCCGUUUCCGUGCAGACAAGAUUUUGCGGUCUGACUUUUGAGCAAAGAGCGAGAUUAGCAGAGAGCGAGGUUGAGCGCUCAAAAACCGUCACCUCUUUAUAGAUGCCAUAGCGUCGCCUGUUCUUGAUUUUUUUUUUCGUUUUAUCUUGUGGAAAAGAAUUAGUGCCAAACGUAAGCCAUUACCCUUCACUAGCCAAUGAAGUAUGCAGUGACGUCUUCUGGAGUACGGUUCUUGGUAUUUUUAUUUAUCCUCCCAAUAACAAUUGCAUUAUUAAUUUAUUCACACAUUAAAUAUGUCAAUAGGCAACAUGUUGACGCAUAAAAUAUGUCAUGAUCCUCUAGUGGUAUGUAUUCGAUUCAUCUAUUUUAAGAAUAUUCACCUUCAUCUAUUUUAAGAAUAUUCACCUUCUUCAAAGAUAGUGUUAGUAUAUGCGGAAACAUGUGUUUGAUAUGUAUGCAAGCAAAAGAACUAAGGGACAAUGUGAGCAAGAAAUAGUGGGACAAAGUAAUAAUAGGAAUGUGUAAAAGAGAAUGAGGCUGAGGCGGUGAAGGAGAGAAACUUGAAUGGAAGUCAACAAUAGUGGCUGAAGAAGAAACUAGUAUGUGGACAGCAAGAGUACUUGGAGAAGAAGAAAAUGAGUUGUCAGCUGUACUAUGGCCUAUGGCGGUGAAAAAGUCAAAAAUGUCAUGCUUGAAGUCGGUUGUAAUUGCCUAUAAAUAGGCUUGUCGUUCAUUUAUUUGGUGUGUGUGAGGUGAACCCUUCACCUUGUGUGGGGGUGAACCCUCCACUGUGAGAGGUCUUAAACCUCCGCUAGGACCAUAUGGAGAGUGACUAUUCAACACCUCCAUCAAAUUAUUUUGUCUUCUUCAAUAAGUUCUUGACAGCUGGAGUUUGAUGAAGAAACUUUGCUUCAUGCUUUCCGCUACUUGCUAUUUCCGAUGCACGUAGACUUCUCUAGCCUAUUCUAGGAUUUCUUCUUCAACUUGGGGUUUGCUUGCUUGUAUUCCCAUGUGAAUCUUCUAGGUUCAGCUAGCAACCACCAUUCUCAACAAUUCUAGACAAUCUUCAACAUGGAUGUUGCUACCAACGUUCUCGCCUUCAUGAUUAAGUUAAUAGUUUCUAAACAGUUUUAGAGAAAAUGGAUCAUAAUUUUCAACAUAUAGUAUUUUGGAGAGAAAAGUAUUUCAGCAGAAUUGUUCAAGGAUUUACAGAUCACUACAAUAUCACCGGAAGCAAAUAAUUAUCCAUCAUUGACAUGAACGAUAUAGCAAAAAUUCUUUUACUUGUUUACCUUAAGUUUAGCAAGAUCUGCUUAAACGACAACCUUGAGUAUCUUCAAUUCCCUUUCUCUUGCCUUCAAAAAGAUAUUGAAAUGCAACGCAGAAUCAAGACAGAUUGUCAUUAACAAAGCUGUAAAAGCCUACUCAAUCUGGCAAAAUUGGGGACAGUGUUUUCCAGCGAUCUUGACUACCUCGGUAGCUGCUGUGCAAAUGGAUAGGAAUGCAUGCAGAGGGACAAGCUGAUUGUUACCUACUUUUAGUCAUUCAUUUGAAACUGUAAGAUUCAUGUGCCAUAAGAUAGCCAAACAAGCGGGCAAAAAAUGAUGUGCCUUGCACCGAAGGUGGCAAGAGCAAUUAGAUUAAAUUCAAACCAAAAAAAGCUUGAUGCAUAAAAUGAAAAGUCAUCCAUUGAGCAAAAAAGGGUGCGUUUGGUAAGGUUUCUGUUUAAAAAUUGUUUCUGGGAACAUAAAUAAAAAAAAGUGUUUCUGUUCCAAGGAACAAGUUUUGAACAAAAAAACGCAUUUGGUAAAUCUGUUCUAGAAAUAUAAAAAAAAUAGAAACACGUUUGGUAAGUUUGUAUAUUUUUUUUUAUUUCUUUUAAUUUUUAAUAUUUUUAUUUUUAUUUUCUAUUUUCUUUCUUAUUUUUCUUAUUUAUUUUUCCUUUUUUUCUUAUUUAUUUUUCCUUUUUCCUUUUUUCUUCUUUUGGCCGGUCGCCGGCCUCGGCCAUGGCCGACGACCAGCCGACAAGGGCCGGCGGCCUCACCCAGCCAUGGCGAGGCUCGCCGGCCGCUGGGCGAGCUCGGCCUCGCUAGAUCUGGGCGAGAUCGAGCUCGCCCAGCCAGGCGCGAGGUCGGCCUCGCCGCGCUGUGCCGACGGUGACCCAGAGCCACACCAUCGUCUCCCUCCACCGCAUCGGUGACCGCGCUCGACGCCUCCUCGCCGCCACCGGAUCGGCGACCACCCCUCCGCCUCACGCCCGAUUGACGCAUCUGCAGGUCUCGAGCCUUCGUUCACCACCGCCACAUCAGAUCUCACCACGCCGUGACCCACGGCUUCGAGAUCCGCUCGAUCGUCGACCCCGCGCCGGCCCACGACUCGACCGGCCGUCCUCGCCGCUCCGCUCCUAGACGUCCGCCGCUCGAGACCCCACGGCCGAGCCCCGCACCGCAGCCGCCGCCGCCGCCCAGCGACCCGCGACCCAGCUCCGUCACCCGCUCACAGGUGGAGAUGCUCGCAGCGGCUGUCGGCGCCGGAGAGGACGACGGUGGAGAAGCCGGAUGGUCUCGAGACAGAGGCGGCUGUCGGCGCCGGAGAAGACGACGGUGGAGACACUUGCAGAAGGAGAGGCUCGCAGGAGAACACGAUUUUGUUUCUUUUUUGUUCUUCAAAUAUGUUUCAGAAAUAAGAAAUAAGAAAUUCUUGUUUCUUAUUUUUGUUUGUUUCUUAUUUUUGUUCCCUUUUUGUUUCUAGGAACAAAAAAACAAAAAAGAAACAGAAAUGCACCCAAACGCGUUUCUGUUCCUUUUUUGUUCCCAGAAACAAAAAAAUAGAAAUUUUUGUUCGUGGGAACAGAAACACGGUGCAAACAAACGCGCCCUAAAUGACAAAGUAAGUGCAAUGAGAGUCAUUGAUGUUCACGCCAAACGUAUGCCAUGACCAUUCCUUAGCCGAGAGAAUGUAAGCAGCGACAUCUUCUAGAUAGUGGUUACUGGCAAUUUUUUUUUUUUUUAUCCCCGGCCUGAUCAAAUUAUCCGAGUUAUAAACUCAGAAAGAAGUUAAUGAGCAAUCUACCGCUAGGACCUAUGAAGGGUCAUAUGUUGUUGGUUACACAUCGUGUUGGAAUAUAAUAUACGGAAAUGAAAAGAUCUUGCAAUUUACGUCAACGUGCAAACUCCAGAAAAAUAAAUGAGAAAUAAUAAGAACACCAUAACUUUACGUGAUUCGGUCCGAGUAUUAGUACCUACAUUCACGGGAGAGUUAGCAACAAAUAACCCACUAUAAUAAAAAAAUCAGAGUUUACAAUCGCUCACAUGCUUGAGUAUUUUCUACACCUAGAUUUCAACUCAAGAGUUUAUAAAUAAACAACUCAUUUUAACAUAAAUUCACGACAUAAAAUUACCACUCGUUCAAAAACAAAAUGCUCUACGUACGCCAAAAACAAGAAUUCCAGCAUUUAUCUUUUGGUUCGCGUAGAUACGGAUUUGUGUUCUUCUUUGCUUGAUCGUGCGGCGCUAUUCUAGACGUUCCUUUUGGCUCUUUCUUCUUCGUAGGGCUUCAGUAACUUUUUCUAUAAAAAAAAAAAAGGACGUUCUAUUUUAUAUAUGUGCCUAGAGUCAACAACUUUGACUCUGGGCCCACCAUGUGCUUCUUUCUUCAGUGGGAAGUGGGACGCUGCAGGUAAGGCGAAGAAACCUUCCUUUUAUUCAUUUUUCUUCAUAUUUCCUUUAUUUUAUGGGAUAUGUUUGGCAGAAGUCCUAAAACUUGUCCAGAAAGUGCAAUUGAGUCCUAAAACUUACAAAAAGUUCAAUCAAGUCCUAAAACUUGUCAAAUUGGUUCAAUUGAGUCCUAAAGUUAACACCGUUAAGAAAAUUAACAGAAAUUGCUGACGUGGCGCUGACGUCAUAUUUUAAAUGAUCUUUUUUAUUUUUCAAAUAGCUUUUUUAAAUUAUUUUUAUUCAAAAUCUUUAAAAAUUAGAUUAAAAACUAAAAAGGAAAAUCUAAAUUUAUUAAAAAAACAAAAUUGUUCAAAAAAAAAAAAAGAAAAAAGGGCGGUGGACUUUCGCCGCUGCCCAUCGCCGAAGGGGCCGGCGAUCGUCGCCGGCCCUGGGCGGGGGCGAUGGUCGCCAUCCCUUGCCUGGGGCCGAGCAACCGUCGCCCGCCUUGGGCGAGGCCUCGUCGGCCCUCGCUUGGGGUCGGCGAGGCUCGCUAGAUCUGGGCGAGCCUCGCCCUCGCCAGCCACCCCUGCCCAGGGCCGACAACUGUCGCUCGGCCCCUUCGGCGAUGGGCGGCGGCGGCGGCGGCGGCGGCAGCGGCGGCGGGGAGAAGAGGGCUGCUUUUUUUUAAAACAAUUUUAAAAAUAACUUUUAUAACUUUUCUUUUUAAUUUUUAGAUAAAAUGAAUAAAUUUAAUUUUUUAGUUUUAAUUCUUUUUUUAAAAAUGAAUAAAAAUCAUUAAAAAAAUCCACGUGGAAAAUAAAAAAUAAUUAAAAAUGAUACGUCAGCAUUUUUAACAGAAAAAGCUAACGGUGUUAACUUUAGGACUUAAUUGAACUAACUUGACAAGUUUUAGGACUUGAUUGAACUUUUUGUAAUUUUAGGACUCAAUUGCACUUUUUGGACAAGUUUUAGGACUUCUGCUGAACAUAUCCCUUAUUUUAUAUAUGUUGUGUGCCUAAAGUCAAGACUUUUGACUUUGGGCCCACAUAAAUAACCUUGUUUGGCUCCCGUAGAUAAAGAAGAAACUUUGUUCUUUUUAUUAUUAUUAUAUUUUCUUUCCUCUUUCGUAAACCUUCACAAAGUCCAACAAAGCUUCUUCUAUUGAUCGAAACAAUCAAAGACCCAAAAAGAAUUUCGAAUUUAUUUUCUUGUGCAUAAUCUUGAAUAUUAUCUUUAUCAGAAAAAUAUCUUCACGAUCAAAUAAUAAAAUUUUUAUCCAAGCGGAUCGCAUUUUGCAAAUACUCAAACUCGAGACAUAAUUUAACACAUCCGACAUGAUAUACUGCCCAAUUACUAUCCUCUGACAAUUUAUAUUUGAUUAAUCUAAUUCAAGAAUAUUCAUUUGUUAGACUUGUUGGCUUACACGCCACUGUCACGUGAUAUAUCCUAUAUUGAGAAUACUCAAUGAGCUUUGACUCUAGAUACUUGGGAGCAUCUAUGCUUGUUUUAUGUAUGUUAUGCUUGUGAUGCAUCUUGUUUUGAGUGGACUGUAGAAAUAUUUAAGUUCGUGCCAAUUUGACUAAUUUUUUAUCUGGAUAAGUGCAUUGGAAGAUUUAAAACUUAUCAUAAAAAUACAAUUAAGCCAUGAAACUUUGAAAUCAAGUUCUAGAACUUGUCACAUUGGUCUAAUCUAAAUCCUACCAUUGCAUUUUUGAAAAUUUCGGUACUUAACUGCAAUUUUCUAACAAGUUUUAGUAUUUCCAAUAUACUUUUUUUUUUUCAACCUCAGUAAUGUUUUUAAGCAACAAUGAGCUUGACAUAUCUCUGUUUUCGGAAUUUCAGUGGCUAUAGGAAACAAAAGGACGUCCUCUAAUGAAUCAACAAUCUUCUGCCAUGACAAAGCUGGAAGAGAGAUGAGUGUCUUCCAUAGUUAUAAAAAAUGUUCAUGCAAUAAUCUGUAGGAAUUCGUCUUCCUGACGUGCAUGAACAUUUCCGGCCAUGAAACAUUUCACGGUGAAGACAUUCUGUCACUUAAACCGGCAAAAGGAUAUCGAGCUUGUUCUUUUGGCGAGUGUAUUGCCGUCAAAUAUGCCUGAUUAAUUCCACGACUAUUAGCAUUUGUUUAAAUAGAGCAUACAACCUAAAAUGCUCACAAAGGUAGCUGGUACUGGAUCCUCAUGUCUGCCCAUGAAAUUCUGAGUGCCUCAGACAUGGCAUAUCAGGCACACAAACAAUUCUCAACCCAGAAAUUAGUACGUACACAACAAAAGUUUAAAAAAAAAAAAAUUGGUUUGGUUAAUGUGGAAAUUUAACAUCAUGACAAGCAUAAAAAACUGUUCAGCAGUACAGUAGAGAGGUCAAGACCUGAGAACACUGUAUUGAGACUUAUUCAGAUGAACACUUCAGAUAGUCACUGAAAAGCUAAGGAGCAGAUGAAUUGAAUAAAGAACAAUGGCGAUGAUAAUACCUGCGGCUGAAUUUGUAGGGGGAGAGAAGUCCUAGAAACCGUCAUAGAUGCCAUAGCGAUGGAUGUUCACGAUUAAUCUUUGAGCUUACUAUUGUGGAAAAGUAUUAGUGAUUCGCCAAACGUAACCCAUGACCCUUCCUUAACCAAAGAACGCAUGCAAUGACAUCUUCUGGAGAGCGGCUCCUGGAAUUUUUCCAUCCACAACCUAAUUGCAUUAUCAACCUACUGACACAUAAAAGAUGUCAAUAGGCAAUGUGCUGUUGCACCACUGGACCCGCAAAUGGUCAUCAAUGUCGGUUAUACCGCCAAUAAUUUGUACCUGACCCUUCAUAGUCGUAUUAUUCGAUUAAUCUAUUUAAAGAACAUUCAUUUUCUUCAAACAUGCUUUCUCACGUGCCACUGUAAUAUGAUGUUUUUGAUACACAAAAUACUAUCUCUUCAAGAGCUUUGACUCCUAUAUACUUGGGACAUUAAAUUGUUUUAGCAACAAUGAGCUUGGGAUAUCUCUGUUUUCGGGAUUUCAGUUGCUAAGGGAAACAAAAAGGACGUCCUCUAAUGAAUCGACGGUAUUUUGCUAUAACAAACCUGGAAGAGAGAUGAGCGUCUUACAUAAUUACAAAAAAAUGAUCACGCAAUAGUUGGUAGAAAUUUACUCUGCUGACGUGCAUGAACAUUCUGAACAAAAAACGGAAAACAUGCAUGAACAUUUCCGGCCAGGAAGCAUUCACGAGGAGCUGAGAGACACUCUAUUUCUUAAAGCAGCAAAAUGAUUACGAGCUUGUUCUUUUGGUGAGUGGAAUGAAUAAAUUGUUCAAAAAAUCCUAAACUUAUUGUCCGACCACUAAUUUAAUUCUAAACGUUUUAAUUUGAUCAAUGUUGUCUAAAACUUUUGACAAUUUUUUGUAGUCCACCUAGUUAAAUUUAGGUCGAAAAUCAGUGAUGAAGCAAUUUAGUAAACACUAGCUGUUUUAAGUGAUACAACCGAUAGCUGAUAUAGAUGAUCUUAAAUGAUGUGGCGUCGUUUCACAAUUUUUUAAUAUUCUUUCUUUUUCUUUUUUAGUAAUUUUUUUUCCUAUUCUUUCGUUCUCUAGUGUUCAUUUUCUUCCCUCUGCCGGUGGCCGAUGCCUCAGCAAUGACCGGCGACCAUCAUAGGCUACAAGUGAGGGCAUUGAGCGAGACUUGCAAGCCUUCUCCUAGAUUUGGGCAAGGGCCCUAUAGGCCCUCAUUGGCCGUAGGCAAGGUUGGGGACUUGCAAGCCCUUGCCUAGAUCUACCCUCUAAUGGGGUCAAUGCCUGCCAUCACCAAAGCCUCAAUGUCUUGCUCUGGAAAGAAAAUGAACAGCAGAGAAGGAGACAAUAGGAAAAGAAAGAAAAAAGAAAAAGAGAGGAAAGGAAAAAGGGAAAAAAUCUGAAAAUAAUAACAAAAAAUUGCAAAAUGACGUUGUUUCAUUUAAGAUCAUCCAUGUCAAUUGCCAAUCAUGCAACGUGGCCUACCUUGUUGGAUGUAGUAGAUUUAGGAUAUUUUGAAUAUUUUUCUCCUAUUAAAUAUGCCCGGUUUAUUUGAUAUCCUAAAAUUUGUCAACUUUGUGAAAUCAAGUUCUAAAAUUUGUUGGCACUCUUUUCAUAUUGGAUGAAGUUAAUGAAAUGACUUGAUUACAACUACUUGGUAAGUUUUAUGACUUGAUUGUAAUUUUUGAAAAUUGUCGGACUCAAUUGCAUCUCUAUAAUAAGUUUUAAAACUUGAUUACGCUAUCUAAAAAUUUUAAGAUUUUCAAUAUACUUAUCCCUAAAAUAAAAUAAAAAGGGCCUACCCCCUUUACAUGAACUCUUUAAUUUAAACGCACCAUGGAAUUUCCUGUCCUUUUACACAAUUUCAUUAACUAAGAUUUUAUUUUAUUUUUUGGGUUAAAACCAAGAUUUAGUUCUUCUUCUUCUUUUUUUUCGGACCAGCCAAGAUUUAGUUCAAAGAUAGAUAUUUUGAGGAGAAAAAAAUUUCAGCAAACUAUGCAAGGAUUUGCAAAAGAUCGCAACAAUAUUACCGGAAGCAUAUAAUUAUUUAUCACUGACGAAUGAUAUAGUAAAAAUUCUUUUAGAAGUUUACCUUAAGUUUAGCAAGAUCUGCUUAUUCGGCAGCCUUGAGUUUCUUCGAUUCCUUCUCUCUUGCCUUCAAACAGAUAUAGAAAUGGCAACGCAGAAUAUCAAGAUAGAUUGCCAUUGACAAAGCUGUAAAAGCCUACUCAAUCGAGCAAAACUGGGACAGUUUUUCCAGCAAUCUUGACCACCUCCGUAGCAUGCCGUGGAAAUAGAUAGGAACACAUGUAGAGGGACAAGCUGAUUAUCACUUGCUUUUAGUCAAGCAUUCGAAACUUUGAGAUUCAUGCACUAUAAGAUAGCUAGACAAGCAAAAAAAAUGAUGGGCAUUUCAGUUGAGGUGUCAAGAGCAAUUAGAUUGAAUUCAAACCAAAUAAAGCUUGACGCAGAAAAGAGAAAUGUUGUGCAUUGAGCGAAUAUAUGACAAAAUAAGUGCAAAGAGAGUCAAUGAUGUUCUAGCGCUUUGGCCAAUUGAGUUCUUAAAAUUUUACUUUGCUUAAUUGAAUCCUCGGCCUUUUCAAUUUCAGUCAAUUGAGUCCCUCAACCUUGAUCCUCGGAAAUAGUCACAUGGCUAUGAUUUUCCAAGUUGAUAAGAAGAUGCUCGAGAAGAAAACCGGGUAGGAGGUGAAAUGGGACCUAAGUGCAAGUUUUACUAUUUCAGUAACUACAAUUGAUCUGACAGAAGGUUGAACUUUCAUGGAUCUGGCACUUCGUUUGAAGCUAUACAAACAGAAAUCAGCGGGCUCAAGAAGCCAAUCUUUUAGACAGUUUCUGAAUUAUCACACAGAAAAGCACUAGGAUAUCUUUACACAUUCACUUAUUAUAUCCUCUAUAAACUAACAGUUAUUAGAGUAUAUUAGGCAUCAUUUAUUUGUAGUACAUUAGGUACAGAUGUCCUCUCUCUGAAAUUCCCUCUUUUCCUCUUCUUACGAUUAGCUUUGCCAGAAGAUGUUUCCAACUUCCGACAUUGAUGAUGUCAUUUCAAGGAGUUCUCAAUGUUUAUCACAAAUCGGUACUUAACAUCUCUCUUGAUGAGCCCCUCAAGGGCUUCAUUGGCAUAAUCGAUCAGUAUCACUUCGAUUUCUUGGUGUAUGUGCUGUGGCGCACAGAGGUCUAUCAUUUCUUGGAUAUACUUCAUUCCUCCAGUAGCGCUACCCAAAACUGUUUUCAUACCUGCAAAAAGUUCAUUGUGAGCAACUUAGUUGGCUUGCCUAUCAGGUAUCAAUAUUUCAUUCGGUAAUGAGCUUUGAGAAUAAAAACAUACCAAGGUUAAGGGAGGAAGUACACUAAUGGUGCCAUAAGUUAUGUACGGCGCUCACUUUGGUGUCAAAAAUUUUUGUCGGAUCACUUAAGUGCCAAAAAUUUUGAAAAACGAUCACUUUGGUGCCAUCGUCGAUUUGGUUGGUCGGAAAUCUGACGUGACAAUUUUUUAUUAAUUUUUUAUGCCGACGUGGAUCGUCGGAUAAUACAAUCAACAAACAAAGAACAAAACGAUGCCGUUUACCAUUUUCCCCCAAAUAAAAACCCCUAAAUCCCUAAUUUCGACUAGAACUGGAAGUUGAAAACCCUAAAUCCCCAAUUCGACCAUUUCGAGUGCAUAUUUCGAUUUUCUGCCAAAGUUAUCAACUUGCUUUUGCAAAUGGAGGACAAAAGUUUCAACAGUGGCUCGCAUUCCUAUAAGAAAAGCGAAUUAGAUGGUGAGUGUUACUGUUAUUGUGGGUUACCGAGUCCGAGAAGAAUAUCUUGGACUUGGUUGAAUCCCGGGAGAAGAUUCCAUGGGUGCGGCAGAUAUAGAGAAAGCUCGAAGUGCCAUUAUUUCAAAUGGGUUGAUAGGAAAUUCUCUAAUCGAGCGACAUAUGUGAUAUUGGAGUUACUUGAAGGCCAAAAUCAACCUCCAUCUAUGUUAAUGGACGAGCUGGGGGAUGUCGACUCAAUACAAGCUCAAAUGAAGGGUUUAACAUCUCUGAUGGACCAUUUGAAGAGAGAGGUUUCAAGGCUGAAAAUUGAAAGAAACUUUAUCGAGCGUUGAUUGUAUUCUUAUUCUCUUGGGUAGUUUAUUCAAAUGUAAAGUGAGUAAUGAGAAGAAAUUUGUAUGUCUACCAUAGUCGAAGACGUGGAAUAUGCACUUGUAUUGGAUUAUUUAUAAGUAAAAUGUGUUUUUUGGUUUGUUGCAAUUUUUAUAUAGAGCAGAAUGUUUUAUUGUUGUAAUCUAUAGGUAGAAAUGUAAGGUUGGACUUGGAAUGCAUUAGUUGUGAGCACUUAAAAAGUUUUGUUGUUUAGUUGUGUAUUGUCAAUGUUUGUUUUUGUUAGUUUUUACUUCAAAUAUAAUGGUUUACUGCAUUUUUUAUUUGGUAAUAGUUUGCUGCAUUGAAAGCAAACGGUAAUGGUUUGCUGCAUUUUUUAUUUGGUAAUGAUUUGCUGCAUUGAAAGCUUUUGAUAAUGGUUUGCUGCAUUUUUUUUAUUUGGUAAUGGUUUGCUGCAUUUUUUAUUUGGUAAUGGUUUGCUAGUUUGCUGGUUUGCUUCAACUGUUAAACCAUGGCUGAAUGGCCGAAAUUAAAGAAUGGUGCCAAAUUCACGAUUGAUCAUUUCAGUGCCAUAAGUUGUAAAUAGUGAUCGCUUAAGUACCAAGUUUUUAUAGAAGUGAUCAUUUAAGUGCUAGUCGCAAUUACAAAGUGAUCACUUAUGUUGCACAAGUUUUUUAAAAAAUAACAUGUUAGUGCCAAACGUCACAUUCCAAAUGCACAGAGUUCUUGCACCAGUUGAGUUGCUGGUGCAUCUUCUUGCACCAACCCAUACAGAUGUCGAUGCAACAAGAUGUACCAGCACCCAAAGUGCUCUUGUAGCAGCACAUAUAAUCAGAACCCCACAAAUUCAUUAUAAUCCACAACUUUAACCAACAACAGCAACAUUGCAGCAACAACAACAUUGCAAUAACAACAAAAAUAAAAUAUAUAGCAUAACUAACUUGCUAGCAUUCUAGCUAAAACCAACACAAGAGAAAAUGAAAAGUCAUUCCAGUACUUGCCAUUAACAUUGCUUGAUUGUUUACAAAAUACAAAAUACAAAAAAAAAAAAAAAAAACAUGUCUAACUUCACUCCCUAAUCAUCAAAAGUUCAGCACUUUCCUAAAAAAAAACAAUGGCAAUAUGCAAGCAGCAACUACCAUUGAUGAUAUAAUAUCCAGCACACUCCUAAAAAAAGAAAACAUGGAAAGAGACCAUGUCUAGCAUCACAUAAAAAGAGACCAUGUCCAACACCCUCCCAUCAGUCAAUAUUGACAACACCCUGAUCUCUUUUUCUUAUUAGAGCUUUGAAUUGAUUCAUAAUCCGAGCACUCUUUCGAACUGGAUGUGCAGGUUCUUAACUGGGCUUUCUGUCACCUCAUUUUCCUUUUCCUUGUUUUUUACGGCAGCUAUUUUUGUUCUAGCACGUAUCAUGUGUUGGUCCAUAUCAUCACUACUGCUCCCAAUCGUUGGUUGAGAUGGAACUAGUGAUGGGUUCUUUUUGGAUGGCUGUUUCGCAGCUAUACCCACUGUCUUCUUCUUCUUCUUCUUUGGAGCACUCUUCUUUGGAUGCGCCCUUAAUUCUUGAGUUGGCCCACCUUGAGAGAGAAGUACCUCUGAAGUUCUCCCAGGCUACAAGAACAUAAUGAUAUUGUCAACCAAAUGAAUUGAAGUACAACAAAUUAAAUGCAUAAGGCCUAUAAAUUUUACAUUCAAAAUAGUCAUUCCAGUACGUUCAUCUGUGUAAAUCCCAUAACCAUAUUGCCUUAAUUUUUUUCCAAGAGCCCCUUUUGUUCGCUGUGAUGCAUCAUUUUCAGCAACAACAAUCUGAUAUUGCUAGUAUGAGUACCUAGAGGGGGGUGAAUAGGUAUAUAAAGAGUUUUUCUCAAGCAAUUGCACAAUACUAGACAGUUGGAUGAAACGAUAAUCAAAGUAAGACUGAGAGAAGAGAAAAUUUAAUACGCGGUUUAUAGUGGUUCGGCUUAUAUCAAGCCUACGUCCACUCUUCUUCACUGACAGCCUAUUGGCUGGAUUCCACUAUGAACAAGAGAGAGGUUACAGCACAGCUUUGCCUUGAUUCCACAGUGUAGAUGUUCUACUACACCUCCUCAAGAUUUCUCACAAAUAUAGACUCUCUCUUUCGUAUACAAGUAUUCGCUCAAAGGAUUUGUCUAAACAAAAAGAAGUUUCAGACUUUGGAAUUCUUCUAUCGCGCACACCUUGAACAACUAAGACAGUCUUCCUUAUAUACUCCUUUAUGCCAUCAUACCCGUUGGCACUUACCAAAGGAAUUCCUCCAAUCUACCCGUUGAACGGAAUCAAUUAGGAAGAUUGUCCAAGCUAUAAAUGGAACGUGUUGAUAGCCCAUCAAUCAUGUUCGCCCAUACAAUCAGGAUCUCGGUUUCCAUAAGCAGAACCUUCCAAUAAUAUUUAGGCAAUCACCGGAUCUUCAAUUAUCGAAUCAAUCUUCGAUCAAUCAAAGGACUCCGUUUAUGUCUUCUCCAGCCAUGAGAUCUUCUCCAGUUGAUAAGGUUAAAUCCUCAACGAAACAUCCAGUUCUGGAUAACCUUUCUUCAACAAAUUAGAGACUGUCAAUGAGGAUAGACUUUGAGUCUUGAGUCUAGCUGUCCUAAGGUCUUUAGACUUUAAAUAGCAGAGUCUGCAAGCCUUCAGACUAGACUGAUAUAAACGAUUUGUCAACUUCAAAACACUUCAAGAAGAUUUCUCCAACAAUCUCCCCCUUUUUGAUGGUGACAAAACUUUCCUGCAGAUUUGGAUAUCUUUGACCUGCAAAACAUUUCUCAAACACAUAUACAUAUCUUAUAGAGGUAAAUGUCUUAACAGAAUAACACUAGAAUCUGCAACCACAGAAAAUAGGUUAGUCCAGUAUAUGAUGAAGCCAUCCAUAAGAUAUCAAUAUUAGUUAAUAGAAGCAGUCAAGUCCAAGUCUAGUUUACUUCUCAUCCAAACACAAACCAAAGUCAAAUAGAUUCAAACCACAAAACAAUCCAACAAAAACAAUUAAAAGUUGAAUGAAAGGUUUUUAAUCAAAUCUUGCAUCUCUCCCCCUUUUUGUCAUCAUUAAAAAGGAUGAGAUGAAGUUAAGAAUGCUUGGGAACGCGGACAAGCUGGAAAUCUUCCAUAGACUGAACAAUGCCUUCCAACCUUUUAAAGUCUUCCUUUAGCUGUGCAAUCUCCUCACUCUUGGCAUUGGCCUGAUUCUGAACAGAGAGGGCUUGCAUUUUAUCAUUCAAUAAACAGGAAGAAGCUUGACCUUCAUUCUUCAAGCUUUGAACUUCGCAUCCCAAGGCAUAAAUCUGACCUCGCAUCUCCAAAAGAAUAUCCAUGAUUCUGCGAAAAUCUGCUCCAUUAUCAGUUUGAGUACUUGCUUCGGCUCGAUCUGAUGGAGUAAAUGCAGAUGAUGGUAGAUCAGCAUAAUCUUGCAGGUUUGGCGAUGAAACUUCAUGACCUUCUUCUGGAAAUUGAGAUGCAUAAACAUCCUCUGGAUCUGCUGGUGAGCGACUGAUUCCUUCACUUGCAUCAGGACAUGAAGACUUCACUCCUUUCUCCUGAUCUCCCCCUGUUUCCAUGCCUACAGGUGGAGAAGAGUGUUCUUCAGGUUCUCCUUCUUCUCUUCUUUCUUCUUCAGGUCUUUCCUCCUCUGUUUCUUUUUCAGCUUCUAUUUCUUCUUCUUCCUUCUCCUCUGCUUCUUUCGUCAUUUGCUCCGAUUCUUUCUGUGGAACAAGACGACUUAAAUUCUUCAAAGCCAAUGCAGAGAUGGUGAUGUCUUCCUCAUCAUCUUCAUCCUCAACAAGGAGAGCUCUUCUUCUCUUGGAUGGAGCAACCAUGGGCUCCUUCCCUUUUCUUUUAGCUGCAGAAGAUAUUUGAUGAGAUUUUGCAGGAGUCUUCUCCUUGAAUUUCUCCAACUCCUUGCUCAGUUCUUUCAGACGCAUUUUGGUCACCAUUUUCAGACCUACCACCAUAUGAUCGCAUGGUCGAACACAAAAGAUUUGUAGAGGCUGAAUAUUCAGAUGUCUGAAUAACUUCGUAACAAGGCUUGGGUAAGGGAGUUGACCUCCGUCCUUCAUCAUUGCUCUAUACAUGUGAAACAUCACAGUGUGAGGGAGAGAAAACCUUUUUCCAAAGAGAAUGGCAUACAUCAACUUGGCCUCUGAACUUGAAACAUCAGUCUUGGAAGUCGAUUUCGGUCGGAUGCAAUUAAUCACAAUCUUGUGAAGCAAGAUGUUGAAUGCACCCAUCCUUAAGUAGGUGAUCUUUUCAUCUGUUCUCCUGUCCUUCACCAGUUCAAGAGUGGCCCGAGCAAUGGAAACUUUGAUUGGCUGAUAUCUUCCUCUUUCGACUUCUAACACAUCUGCCAGCAUAUUCAUAUCCACAACAUAAUCUUGGUUUUUAACGCUGAACGAGAAUCUAUUCGCAUCCAAAAAGCUUAGAUUUGAAUAGAAAUAUGCAGUUAAUUCAGCAUAGGCCUCUGUAGAGUCAGAGCAGAACUUUUCAAGUUGAAGAUAACUGAACUUUUCCCUCAAGUUCAUAUUCACAGCAUCCAGAAAAUCGAAAUCUACACUCCUAGGGUUUAUCACCCCACGCUUCAGCAAUUUCGAGUACAGAUCCUUUUGCUCCUUUGAUCUGAACAAAUCUCCCCUUUUUCCUUGGUUAUCAACCGCAACACCCAUUUUCGGUUGGAAUUGACUGUACAAUUUAUCAUCAUCAUUCCCAUCUACAGGAUUCGGCCCCCAGUCACGAGGAUCACUUGGGAUAUUUGCAAGGGUUUCCUCAGCCACCCCUUUUCGAGCAAUUCCCAAACUUUCCAUUUUUUUCAGAAAGAUAUAUUCGUUCCCAUGUCCUUUGUCUUUAAGAAAAUCAUCAAUGUAGUUCAAAGGAGUACGAAUUCCUUUUAGGGCACGAUAUAACUGGUAAAUAUAAGUGGGCUUUUGAACUCUUACAGGGUCUGCAUCCUCGAUGAUUUCUUCCUGUUGUUGAUGAUCAACGCCUUGAGGACUAGAUGGAGGAGAAUGACACUGUUGAGAAUGUUGUGGGCUCGCUUGCUGAUCUGGAGUCACUUCAUCUUCAGUAAGAUCGAAGUGCGUAGGCCCCUCACUCAUCCGCCGUGGUCCCCUGCUUGCAAUUCUCGAAGACUUUCUUGAAGAUGACAUCUUAGUUUUUGGAAGAUUCCUUGCUUGACUUUCCCAGGAAAGAUGACAACUUUUUAAGGAUUAAACGAAGAAGACAAACGGGAAUGGAGGAUCGAUGCUUUCUAGGGUUUUUGAGAGAAAAGUGAAGAGGAAUCGAUAGUUCACGAUCGGUUAAGAAGAGGGAUAAACGAACCAUCAUAAAGGAAAUAAAAAUAUGCCUUUUCAAAAUAACUGUCUUUUUCCGCAAAAAUAGCCAUUUCAAAAAUAACUUCCCUUUUGAAAAUGAAACGAUGCAAUAUUUACUUCAAUUAAAUAUAGCAACAAUUUAAACACAGUCUGACAAUCGUACCUUUUCAAGAUGAGAUUCAAGAGAGAAAGACUUACAGUCUGACGGACGUACCAAGACUGUCUUUCAGAUAAAGUCUUGUAAGUCUGAGUCUGAAAGUCUUUAGACUUUGAUAUCCUCAUACCUCAAAAUGUUGAGUCUCGAGCGUAUAGACUCAAAUUGAUUUUUCUCCAAAGGCUUUGUGAAUAUAUCCGCCAGUUGAUUCUUUGAGUCAACAAAUUGAAUUGAAACAUCUCCAUUUUGAACAUGGUCUCUUAUAAAAUGAUGUCGAAUCUCUAUAUGCUUUGCUCUUGAGUGGAGAAUUGGAUUUUUGGUGAGGUUGAUAGCGCUGGUGUUGUCGCAAUUAAUUUCCGUGCAUGAGUCUUCAAUUUCAAAGUCUCUUAGCUGUUGUUUUAUCCAUAGAAUUUGCGAAUAGCAGCUUCCCAGAGCUACAUACUCUGCUUCUGUUGUUGAAAGAGACACAGUGCUUUGUUUCCUUGAAAACCAAGACACUGUCCUGCUUCCAAGCAACUGGCAAGUUCCCGAAGUGCUCUUUCUAUCAACUCUGCAAUCGGCCAGAUCUGCAUCUGAAUAUCCCAUAAGAUUAAAGUCUCCCUUCUUAGGAUACCAAAGACCGAUGCUUGAUGAUGAAGCAACGUAUUUAAUGAUGCGUUUCGCAGCACUGAGAUGGGAUUCUCUAGGAUCUGAUUGAAACCUAGCAUAGAUGCAAACACUCAACAAGAUGUCAGGUCUAGAAGCAGUAAGAUAAAGGAGUGAACCAAUGAUGCUUCUGUACAGCUUUUGAUCAACUUUCUUCCCUUCUUCAUCUUUGUCUAUCUUCAAAGAACUUGACAUCGGUAUGUCGGUCUUUUUGCACUUUUCUAAUCCAAAUCUUUUGACAAGAUCAUUAACAUAUUUUUCUUGAUAAAUAAAGGUUCAUUCCUUCAAUUGUUUUACUUGAAGACCAAGAAAGAAUGUUAACUCUCCCAUCAUACUCAUUUCAAAUUCAUCCUGCAUAGACUUAGAAAAUUUCUUGCACAUAUUUUCAUUAGAAGAUCCGAAUAUAAUGUCGUCCACAUAUAUUUGAACAAGUAAGAAACUUUUGUUCUCCUUUUUGAUAAAUAAAGUAGUAUCCACUUUACCUUUGACAAAACCAUUUUGUAUUAAAAACUUACUUAAUCUGUCGUACCAAGCUCGAGGUGCUUGCUUUAAACCAUACAGAGCCUUCUUCAGUCUGAAGACUGAGUCUGGCUUCUUUGGGUCUUCAAACCCUGGUGGUUGUUCCACAUAAACUUCCUCUUGGAUGACUCCAUUUAGGAAGGCGCUUUUGACGUCCAUUUGGAAUAACCUGAAAUUCUUAUAACAAGCAAACGCAAGUAAUAGUCGAAUAGCUUCUAACCUUGCUACUGGAGCAUAAGUCUCAUCAUAGUCUAUUCCUUCUUCUUUCAUAUAUCCCUUGGCCACGAGUCUUGCUUUGUUUCGUAUGACUUUUCCUUUCUCAUUCAUCUUGUUUCUGAACACCCAUUUAGCUCCAAUAACAGUUUUACCUUUUGGUUUGGAUGUCAAUUUCCAGACAUCAUUAAUGCUAAACUGUCUGAGCUCUUCUUGCAUAGCUUCAAUCCAGCUUUCAUUAGAUAAAGCUUCUUCUAUGCUUUUUGGUUCAAUUUUAGAAACGAGAGCCACAACACUAGACUUUUCUCGCCUUUUGGAUCUAGUGCGAAUUCCUUCAUUCAUUUCGCCGAUUAUAAGAUCUUUGGGAUGACUGGACUUAUGCUUCCAGUUACUCGUUGAUCUGUCUGGUUGAUGAUUUCUUUCUUUGUUUGGAUCUUCACGAACAUCUUGAAGCUGGUUUUCCAGAGUCUGAGAUGCUUCUUGAGAUGUAAGCUUUGGAAGAUCUGGAGCAGGUUCAGACUCUUCUUGAUGAGUCUGACUUGAUUCAUCUUGUGUUGAGUCUUGGAAUUUGACAUUCAUUGACUCCUCCAUAAACUGGCUCUUCUUGUUAUAGACUCUGAAGGCUUUGCUUGAUGUAGAAUAUCCAAGGAAGAUACCUUCAUCUGAUCUUUCUUCAAACUUACCAACUUGAUCUUUUGCAUUUUUCAAUAUAAAACAUUUGCAACCGUAUACAUGAAAGUAUGAAACAAUAGGCUUCUUAUCUUUGAACAAUUCGUAAGGGGUUUUCUCUAGAAUAGGUCUUAAGAAGAUUCUAUUGAUGAUAUAACAUGCUGUUGAAACAGCUUCAGCCCAAAAUCGUGAAGAAAUCUUGCUUUCAAAUAAAAGAGUUCUAGCCAUUUCCUGAAGAGAUCUGUUCUUUCUUUCCACAACUCCAUUUUGCUGAGGAGUAUAUGGAGAGGAGAACACAUGAUUAAAGCCAGAUUCAUCACAAAAUUUUGUAAAAUCUUGAUUUUCAAAUUCACUUCCAUGAUAUGUUCUUAUACUUGAGAUAACACAUCCUUUUUUCAUUUUGAACCUUUUUAGCAAACUUUUCAAAAUACGAGAAGGUUUCAGACUUACUUGCAAGGAAAUAUACCCAAGUAAAACGGGAGUAAUCGUCCACAAUUACUAGGCAAUAUUUCUUACCUCCAAUACUCUGUGUUCUGGUUGGUCCGAAGAGAUCCAUAUGCAGCAACUGUAGUACAUGAUUAGUAGAGACAUGAUUUAUUGGCUUGAAUGAAUUUCUUAUCUGCUUUCCCAGAAUACAUGGAGUGCAUGGAUCAGUCUUUUGAUAAGGUAAUUUGGGUAGUCCUUGAACAAGCUGCUUUGAUGAGAUUUUGGCUAAUUGCUUCAUGUUAACAUGACCAAGCUUUCUGUGCCAUAAGCUUGCUUCGUCUUGAAUUGAGAUAAAACAUUGCGAUUCAUUUGGUUUCACAUCCAGAAGAUAAAUGUUUCCAUGUCUACGACCCAUGAAAGACUGAGUAGAGUCUUUACUGAUUCCAGAACAUAUUCCUUCUUGAAAAAAGAUCUUGAAACCAGUAUCACACAAUUGACUAAUGCUGAGAAGAUUGUAAUUGAGUCCUUCCACUAAGGAAACAUUACUUAUUGUGAGAUUUCCAAUUUUCACAGUUCCAAAUCCCACAAUACUCCCUUUGUUGUUUCCUCCAAAUGAAACUUUUCCACCAUUUACUUGAGCAAUCUUUAUAAAACAAUUUGAGUCUCCUGUCAUGUGUCUUGAGCAUCCACUGUCAAGAUACCACUUUACCUUUUUCUUGACGGUGACCUGCAUUUAAAAAAGAGUCUCAAGCUUUCUUUGGUACCCAAACUUUCUUGGGUCCUUUUGUGUUAGUAACAUAAGCAGUAUUAGCCCAUAUUCUCUUAACAGGUUUCCAAACCAUAGGACACUCUUUUUCAAGGUGAUCCGGACUGUUGCAUUUUGAACAUUUUAGAGCAUUUCUUCCUACAGAUUUUACAAAAACUUUCUUGAAGUGAUUUUUGUAAACCUCUCUCGAGAGUCUUUUCUUAAUUCUUUCUUUUACUUUAGGAAAAUCAAUCAGGGGAAUUGUUUCUUCUGUCAUACCUAAACCGGACUUAUUGAAGUAAGGUCUUUGAGCUGAAAGAAUUUUCUCAAGUUUUUCGGACCCUAUUGAAAAUUUCUUUGAGAUAUUUGAUAAGUCUGUUUUUAAAAAAGCAUUUUCUUUUAAAAGAUCAUCUUCAUUUUCUUUAAGAGUGGAAACAGUCAAGUCAAGACUUUUAACUCUUUCUACUAAAACAUUUUCCUUUUGUUUUAGAGCUGAGUUUUCCUUUUUCAGUUCGGAAAUUCUUUUGAGAGAAGUCUUAAGACUAAAACAUAAUUCAUCAAUAUAUUUAGAAACUUUGACAGGAAUUUUAAUAUCACUUGCCUCAAAUUUACUGUCUGAGUUUGAUCCAGAGUCUGAGUCUGAUUGUGCCAUCAGACAUAGAUUGGCAUAUUCAUUAUCACUUUUUUCACACUCUGUGUCACUCCAUGUUUUGGCUUUGAGAGCUUUUCGAAAUCUUUCAGCUUUUCCUUUCUUCUUUUUCAGAAGAGGACAGUUGGGUCUGAUGUGUCCCUUUUUCUUACAUUCAAAGCAGACUAUGUCUUUGUUUGGUUCCUCAUCAUCAACAGACUUGGUCUGCUGUCUUUGAAAGCUUUGUUUCUUUGAAUUGAACCUUCUUCCUUUUCUAUUCAGUUUUCUGAAUCUUCUUAUCAUGAGAGCAAGCUCCUCAUCGUCCAUAUCUUCUUCAGAAUCUGUAUCAUCAGAAUCAUUAUUUGAUUUUAAUGCAAUGGAUUUCUUACCUUUUGGAUCUUCAUCUUCAUUGAUCCAUUCCACUUCAUAAGACUGAAGAGUUCCAAUUAGCUCGUCGACAGAUAGUGGCAUAAUUCUUUGCGUCUCUCUUAUCGAAGUCUUUAUGUGAUUCUAAUCCCUGGAGAGUCCACGCAGUAGCUUGUUUACCUUCAUGGGAUCAGAAGUUGGUUGACCUUGAUUUUCAAGACCAUUCACAAUAUCUGUAAAACGACUAAACAUGUCAGAUAUAGAUUCUCCUGGUUUCAUUCUGAAGGCUUCGUAUUGACCAAGAAGAAUGUUGAUUAUAGUUUCCUUCACUCGAUCUGUUCCUUCAUAAGUGAUAUGCAAUCUAUCCCAAACUUCUUUUGUUGUACCACAAGAAGAUAUUCUAUUAUAUUCAGUUGGUGAUAAAGCACAAUAUAAGGAGUAAAUUGCUUUUGCAUCGAGUGCUUGUCUUUUGUUUAUUUCUUCCUGAGACAUUCCGCUGGUUUCAUCAGUUUCUUUUCCUCUUUCAGAUACUGAUGCAGUGGUAGGAGUAAUUCCUUUUUCUACAACGUCCCAUUCCAGAGGAUCCUUUGAUCGAAGGAAAGCUUUCAUCUUGUUCUUCCAGAUGUUGUAAUCCUUUCCAUCAAAGUAGGGUGGUCUGGUAUUGCUUUGCCCUUCCAUCAACCCUGGUGCUAGCAUACUAGCCAUGGAUCUUUUACUACGAAGUAAAACACUUCAAAUAAAGUAAGUACACAGGCUCUGAUACCAAUUGAUAUUGCUAGUAUGAGUACCUAGAGGGGGGUGAAUAGGUAUAUAAAGAGUUUUUCUCAAGCAAUUGCACAAUACUAGACAGUUGGAUGAAACGAUAAUCAAAGUAAGACUGAGAGAAGAGAAAAUUUAACACGCGGUUUAUAGUGGUUCGGCUUAUAUCAAGCCUACGUCCACUCUUCUUCACUGACAGCCUAUUGGCUAGAUUCCACUAUGAACAAGAGAGAGGUUACAGCACAGCUUUGCCUUGAUUCCACAGUGUAGAUGUUCUACUACACCUCCUCAAGAUUUCUCACAAAUAUAGACUCUCUCUUUCGUAUACAAGUAUUCGCUCAAAGGAUUUGUCUAAACAAAAAGAAGCUUCAGACUUUGGAAUUAUUCUAUCGCGCACACCUUGAACAACUAAGACAGUCUUCCUUAUAUACUCCUUUAUGCCAUUAUACCCGUUGGCACUUACCAAAGGAAUUCCUCAAAUCUACCCGUUGGACGGAAUCAAUUAGGAAGAUUGUCCAAGCUAUAAAUGGAACGUGUUGAUAGCCCAUCAAUCAUGUUCGCCCAUACAAUCAGGAUCUCGGUUUCCAUAAGCAGAACCUUCCAAUAAUAUUUAGGCAAUCACCGGAUCUUCAAUUAUCGAAUCAAUCUUCGAUCAAUCAAAGGACUCCGUUUAUGUCUUCUCCAGCCAUGAGAUCUUCUCCAGUUGAUAAGGUUAAAUCCUCAACGAAACAUCCAGUUCUGGAUAACCUUUCUUCAACGGAUUAGAGACUGUCAAUGAGGAUAGACUUUGAGUCUUGAGUCUGGCUGUCCCAAGGUCUUCAGACUUUAAAUAGCAGAGUCUGCAAGCCUUCAGACUAGACUGAUAGAAACGAUUUGUCAACUUCAAAACACUUCAAGAAGAUUUCUCCAACACAAUCCUUGUAGCAACCUCUGCAACUUGUGCAGUUGCUCGUCUUCUCACCUAAGAAACACAUAACAAAUGUAAAUUUUAGCCCAUAAAAAGGCCAAACACAGUGAUGUACAACUUACAGGAUAUUUUUUUCUUGUUUGCUCAACGGUGGACUCAGUUGUUAUUGUUGCUGUCUUACCAAUUCUAGUCCUUAUCCCUGCACUUGAGCCUACAACAUGGCCUUUUUCUGGCCCUUUAGUAGGCCUUACAACAAUGUGCUGUAUUAGGAUUAUGACCAACUACAACGAAUAAUUACACAUCUCAUUUUCAUAGUGGAAACACAUGGAGAAAACUUCUCAAAUUACAAGUGCAUGACAGAGGAAAAGCACAAGAGAAGCUAGUACACAUGGUCAACCAUCAAACUCUAUCGAAUAAGAACUGUAAAGUUACUGAGAUAAAGAGGAUACUUACCUUACAGUAUGGCUUUCUGUUGCCCUUUAGUAGACAUUACAGCAGGGCCUUCUGUUCUCCCUUCAAUAAGCCCAACAAGAAACUCUUUGUAAGUCAUGUCCCUGGCAUUGAAUCAACCAUUACAUCUUGCUAUUGAUACUGCUUUUUCAGCUCACAACCUUUCUUAUCGUGCCCUUCCUUGCGGCAAUAGGAGCAUUUCAUAUUUGAUCUAGUCCUACUCAUCCUUUGACUUGAUGCCUCUUCCUAUUGCAUUCUUCGUCUCUUUUUUGGCCUUCAUAUUUGCUUCUUCAGCGGUAAAGGUAGAGGGCUUUAAUGAUUUGUUGGCUCCCAAAAUUUGCUGCUUCUGAUAGGCUACAUCAUGAAUUGGUAUGAAGCAAGGUAUGAGCUUUUUUUGUACCAAUCAUCUAGGUAAUCAUCUAGGUUUUCUUGCUUCAUCUGAAUAGCACAAAUGGCAUGAGCACAGGGAAUUCCAUUCAGUUGCCAAGCUCGGCAUGAACACUUUCUUCUAUCCAAGUUGACAACAUACUUAUCAUGAUUUGGAAUAAUCUCAUACCCAUUAUCUUCAUUCCAAACUGGAUGGCAGAACCUACUAACAGCAAUAUUUGCAUCUAAUCUCUUCACAAUCCUAGGGCCACAGUCUCUACUCCAUUUUGUAGCAUCAUCUCUUUGCCUAUGCAGUCUAGUCAUAACCAUAACUCGAAUAUCAUCAAGCAUGCUGAUGAUUGGUUUGCACCUAGCCUCUAAAAUUCUACCAUUGAAAGCUUCAUUGAGGUUGUUAUCAAUGUUAUCGCAUUUGAACUCUUCGCUGAAGAAGACCCGACACCAGUGCUUAGCUUCUGUCUGGAAGAGUGUAUCAAAACCUUCAUUUGUCAGCUGUAACAAUCCUUGUUUCGCUAAUUUGAAAUCAACCAUAUUCGUACUCUUUGCUAUCUGCCAGAACUGCUUCUACAACAUAUCUCCUUUGAAGUUCCUUGACCAGUUUGCAUAUAUGUGCCUCGUGCACAUUCUAUGCUCAGCAUGUGGCAUCAACUCAGCCAAUGCAGGAAUAAGUCCAUACAAAAAUUCAAACCAAUAAAUACAAGUCAAGAAAAAUAUGCAAGUGAUUAAUAUAUAAAUGAGUGAUUAUUGACAUGAAAUUACCUUCUAUUGGUUGCUCAUGAAUGCCCAUCCUCCCCCAUCGGUUAUCACAAGGUCAGUCAUCAAAUUUUUUAGGAACCAUGACCAAAUAUCCUUGUUCUCUAUCUUUACCACCGCCCAAGUUAUCGGGAACAUUUAAUUAUUGGCAUCUCUCCCCACAGCAACCAACAACUCCCCCUUGCAUAAACCCUUUAGAAAGCAUCCAUCCAAUCCUAUAACUCUUCUACAACCAACCAAGAAGCCCCGUUUGCAUGCAUCAAAACAGACAUAAAAUCUAUCAAAUUUAGGCCAAAGAUCAGGGAGUGGCCUCUUCACAACCUCUACAUAUACCCUACUGGAUGGGUUUUGAAACAUGUAUUCACCAGCAUAAUUCCAUACCUGUGCAUAUUCUUCUUUAUACCCACCCAUCAAUAUUUUCAUCACCCUUAUCUUAGCUCUCUUACAUUGAUUCCUCGACACAUUAACCUCCACUUGCUCCUUCACUAAUUGUUGAAAUUGAGAACUCUUGAUCUCGGGCAUUGCUUUGAUAGUAUUAAAAAAAUUCUUUGAUAACCACACACUUGUUACCCUUUUAUUAUUAAAGAUAAUUGGACAAGUAUGCUCCUCCUGAAAGGACCUAAGCUAGAAUGACCUAUUCUUACUAAGCGCAGCAUAGAGCUUCCAUGAACAAUUAGGUUGUGAGCACUUAGCUCUCACAAAUUCCUUCGUGUUUCUAAUAAAUUUAACGCUCCUCUGUUCACCAAUUGAGUUCUUCACAACAGCUUCCUUGAACUGUUUGGCAUUGUCAAAUCUCAUGCCCACCGACAAAACAGGUUUAUCAACAGUUGAAUCAUAGAAAGGAUACUUACUUUUUCUUCGAGGAGCAGGUUCUUCAUCAUCAUUGUCAAGCUCAUUUUCCGAACUAGUAACUUCAUCGCCACAGCUUUCUUCAUCUUCACUUCUAUUACCCUCAGCUUGAUCUCCAUCCCUAUUUACUGGCUCGGACCUUUUUGCUAAAGCUACAAGUUUUUUUUUCUCAGAAAUUCCCUUUGCUUUUGUCUUGACUGUACGAGUUCAUCAUCAUCUUCGUCACUUGGAAAAUUUACUAAAGCCAAACAUUCAUCUUCCGAUUCAUUAGAUAAAGCAAUUUCCCAUUCUAAUCCAAUGAAGUCUUCAUCGCCCACAUCUUCACCCAAAUCUUCACCCAAAAUUUCAGGACAUCUCCCUCUUUGUUCAUCUCUAUCAAUAUGACUUAUCUCCCUCUCAUUUUGCCCUUCAUCUAACCUAAACUUAUCCCCGACUUGAUUACUCGUUUGAACAAGAUCCCUCACUUCUCCUCCUUCAGUGGUCGUCUGCUCAUCCACAUCCUCAUCCUCAUCCUCACUAUAAUACUCAACAUAUACCUUAACUUCUUCAUUGUGAAGAUAAUGGUAAAUGAUAUCCUUAAUACCAUUAUCGUUGUUAAAAAAUCUUAACCCAUCCUUCAAUUCCUUCCCAGGAACACAGUAAUGUAGUUUUUGCACUUUGCAUCGUAAAAAAUACACCAAAUCUCUCAGAAAAUCAAUAUAUGAUGGCUUCCAAACAUUGACAUAAAUAGUACCUUAAUUUCCACUAUUUUAUUAUCAAUCUUCAGUGCCAAUAACAAACUCUCCACCAUAGUAAACAAUGACGCUUACCUGAUUCGUGUCCAUGUCGAUGCUGCACCCAAUGAAAAAAAAAAGAGUCAUUGUCGUUUUGUUGGAACCACAUGACAGAAUCGACAACUUCACAUGUAGGUCCUUAUCGUUUUGUUGUCAAGGAACAAAUGCGACUAAAAUCUCCCCAAUUCGGUGGAUUUACAGAAAUAAAAGAAACCGAAUUAAAUAAACAAAGUGAGGUCCCCACCACUCAUUUUUCAAUUCAAUCACAUUCACAUUCGGUCCCCCACAAAAGCAGUCCAAUUAAUUAAAUAAAAAAAUUCGGUCCACCACUGUUUCCCUCCGAGUCAAGCCUCUCCGCACCAUUUUUUCUGUUCGGUCCUCACAAUAGAAAACGAACAAACGAUGGAAGAAUCAAUUUUUCUAUUCCGUCCCCAUAAAAGUGACAUCCCCACCACUUUCCCCACUACUUUCCGCUUGAGCCAAGCCCUCAAUUUGCCCUCCGUGCCCUAAUUUGCCCGUCGGAACCCUAAUUUUUUCGCAAAAUUGAUCCACGUAGAGAACAUGACAAACUUGAACGAUCGUGAACAAUGGCGCAACUACAACGGUGGCCAAGCGAUAGUGGGCGAGCGACAGCAGGCGAGCGAACGACGGUGGGUGAACGACAGUGGGUGAGCGAGCUCCGGCCAGCGUCGAGGAGAAUAAUAUACGAACCCUAUUUUACUCCCUCUUCAGCAACAUCGUUUUUUGCUAUGGAGCAACGCGGCGUCGUUUCUUAUGUGAAUCCACGGUGGAUGGCAAGAAACAACGUUGUUUCUUACAAAGAAAGGAAAACGGCGUCGUUUUAUGCUAUCCACCGUGGACAAUCUUAAGCCACAUCGUUUUUUUUUUAAAUAUAAAAGCCACGUAUUUAUUUUGGCCGAAAUUUCUCGCCAGUGGCACCAAAGUGAUCGUUUUUUCUCCGAUUUGGCACUUAAGUGAUUUGACGGAAACUUUUGACACCAAAGUGAGCGCCGUACACAACUUAUGGCACCAUUAGUGUACUUUUCCCCAAGGUUAAGGCUUGCCACACUGAAUGUAACUUCGCUUUGGGACCCAACCAACGCUAGAACGCCACCCGUCUUCAAAAGAGACAUGUAAGGAUCAAAUAGGUGAUCAGCAGAUGCCGUGUCGAUUAUAAAGUCCAGGGACUUAGCCAUGGCCUGCAUGUAUUGGAAUCAUCAGAUCACGGUAGCACUUGACCUUAAUGGAUCUAAAGUAUUGAUAAUUUUAAAUCUUCCCGCCUGCCUUCGUCUAUUCUUGGUCAGAUGAGAUAACGAAGUGGUCAGCACCAAGCAAGCUCAGUGCUUCCUCCUUUUUAGAAAUGCUUGUACUAAACAUAGCGAAUUUCAGUCCAUAAGCCUUCCCAAGCUUAAUUGCCAUGUGACUGAGCCCACCGAGUCCAAUUACACCAAGAGACUUACCCGGUUGGUUCAUCUUGUGACGCACCAUUUGAGUGUAUAUUGUGAUUCCAGCACAAGGCAAUGGUGCUGCUAAAGCCAACGGGAAGUUUUCUGGAAUCCUGAAGCAGUACCUGUUAAUGAAGCACCACAAUUAAGUUUCCAAAUCACACCAAAGGAGGAAGGGAUUUCCCAAUAGAAUCAGCAUCCCAUCUUUUUUGUACAACGGGAUUCAAAUCACAUUUUACUUGCUUAGAGCACAAUUCAACAUCAUGUGGUUUCUGUGAUUCUUUUUCUGACCACAAAUUGCUUAAGACGAAAACUUCUUGCUGUAGCGACGAAAGUAAAGCCACUGCAGCAUACAGGAGGCCAUACUUGAUCAAAAUUGAGAAAAGAGGCUUGCUCUAACAGAGUACACUGGAAGCAUAUUGCAUAUGCAUGGCAGAUCAUGUAAUUUCUCUAUUCCCCUCAAUCAUGUCUCUAAGGGACACGAUAUUCCCGUGACUGUCGAAUACAAGAAUCCGUGAAAGCACGUACAUUUUAUUACCCAUUUGAUCUAACACUUACCAUCUAACUCUUGGAAACAAUCUAAAAAAAGGGAGGAAGAGGAGAUAGAAGGCAAGAAUUGAGCAAUUUCCAUCUGUUUCUCUCUUUUAAUUAAGAGUUAAUAUCCUAAAAAACUCCAAAUUGGUACACAUGUGACAAAUUUACCCCGAUGGACUAUUAAAAACCCUAAAAUUAUAUAUUUAUGACAAAUUUACCCCAAACUAAUUUAUUCGACCACAAAAAAAAUGGUAAAUUUGUGACAAAUAUAUCCUCCACUAAAUUGAAUUAAUACCAUAGUAAACCGUGACAAACGGAGCGUAAAAUCUCAAAUUGAUAUACUAGUCAACUGUCACAUGUCAUUUAACUUAAUAAUUUGACAGUAAAAUUUAAUGAAAACUAAUAGAAGGUAAAUUUGUCACAAGUGUACCAGUUUAGAGUAAAUUUGUCAAAUAUAUAACAAUUUAGAGUUUUUUGUGGUAAAAAAAAAUAGUUUGGAGUAAAUUUGUCACAGGUAUAUCAGUUUGGGGUUUUUUAGGGUAUUAACCCUAUAAUUAAUUUAGUUUUAAAUUUAAUCUUAUUAAUUUUUCAUGAAAAAUUCAUAUGUUAAAUUUAUUGGCUCACAUGUCAUUGUCACUUGAUGUGUAUGAUAUAUAGAAUAGUCCAAGAAAUUUGACUUUAGAUACAUGGGAACCCGCGAAUGGUCAUACAUUGUCGAUUACACAUUCAACAUGAUGUAUUAGCUAAUCAUAGUCCUCUAACGGUUUAUAUUUGCUUAAUAUAUUUCAAGAAUAUUAAUUUGUUAGACUUGUCCGCUCACACGCCGCUGUCACUCGAUGUGUAUGAUAAGCAGAAUAGUCGAAGAGCUUUGACUUUAGAUACUUGGGAGUGUCUAUGCUUGUUUUAUGUCUAUUAUGCUUGCAAUGCUUCUUGUUUUGAGUGGACAGUACAAAUAUUUAAGUCCGUGUCAAUUUGAACAAUUUUCUUUAUUAUAGAGCAACAGUCUUUAAUCUAUUGUGUUCUUGACCACAAAAAACCAAAUAACAAAUAAGUAUAAAUUAUUGUAGGGUCCAACGACAAUCUUUAAUCUAUUGUGUUCUUGACCACAAAAAAUCAAAUAAUAAAUAAGUAUACAUUAUUAUAGGACCCACUCCUUUAAAAAUUUGUUGUUCACAAAAACUUAUUUAUUCUCAUAAUAACCCAAAGUUAUGCUAGCAAAAAUGCAAUUUAAUCCUAAAAUUUGUCACGAAAUGCAAUUGAGUCCUAAAAUUUUCAAAAAGUACAAUUAAUUAUAAAGAUUUAUCAAAAUUGGUCCAAUUUAAGUCAUUCCAUUCAUUGCAAUUUUUGAAAGUUUUAGAGCUCAAUUAUGCUUUCCUAACAAGUUUUAUGACUUAAUUAUAAUUUUUGAAAAUUUUAGAACUUAAUUGUAAUUUAUGAUAAGUUUUAGGAUUUCUAGUACACUUAUCUUUUUUUUUUGUUUUUCACCUCAUUAAUCUUUUUUGCAACAAUGAGCUUGACAUAUCUCUGUUUUGAGGAUUUCAGUGGCUAGGGGAAACACAGGGAUGUCCUCUAAUGAAUCAACAAUCUUCCUGCCAUGACAAUGCCGGAAGAGAGAUGAGUGUCUUACAUAGUUAACAAAAAUGUUCAUGUUAUAAUUGGUAAGCAUUCGCUUUCCCAACGUGCAUGAACAUUUCCGGCGAUGAAACAUUCGUGAGGAGCCAGUAAAGACAUCCUGUUAUUUAAACCGGCAAGAGGAUAUCGAGCUUGCUCUAUUGGCAAGUAUAUUGUUGUCAGAUAAGCCUAAUAAAUCCGAUAUUUUCAUACAAAAAAUCGUCAUCGAGGCCAACUUAAUCCAAAAUGCCAAUGGACAGGCUUGGGUAAGCUAGUGGAUAGGUAUGCCGCUUUAUCUUAUGUCGUGUUAUCUCACGAGAGAUGGUGCUGCGUUCUCUUUAGAAUGCACAUGACUUGGGAUAGGAAAACCUUAGGAUCCGACUAGGAGGAAGGAAAAAAGCAAUCUAUUGUCGGGCCAAUAUAAGAUCAUUUCAUGUCAAACUCCGCAGUCUUGAGGCCAUGGAAUCUACGACAUACUUGCUCAUUCACAAGGACUGAGCAAAUAAAUGAUAAAAUAAGAGCAAUGGUCGUCAUUGAUCGUCUGCCCUUUAACUGAUUGGAUUCUAAAUAUUUUAUUUUCAAUUGGGGUCUAAAUAUUUUAUUUGAUUCAAUUGACUUCUAAAGAUUUCCAAUUUUAGUCAAUCAAGUCCCUCAAAUAUUAUCCUCGGAAAGAGCCACAUGGCUGUGAUUUUCCUAGUGGCUAAGGAGAUGCUUGAGGAGAAAACCUGUAGGAGAGGCGAAGCCAUCCAAGCAGAACUCUCAAGAAGUCAAUUUUUCAGACAGUUUCUCAAUCAUCACAUAGAGAAGUACCAGGAUUUCAUUACCCAUUUCACUUGUUUCUGCUAUAAAACUCACGAGUAUCGAAGUAUAUCAGGCAUAGUUUAUUUGUACUCCAGCAGAGCAAUUAAGAAGGCAUAGAUGAUGCUCUCCUCUAGCUGAAAGCCCGAAACUCCCACUUUUCCUCUGUGUGAUCAGCCUUGCCAGCAACAAUUUCCAACUACCCAAAUUGAUGUUGAAAUUUAAUCAAAUAGACUCAGAGAAGAAAACAAACAAGAGAAUUGUUGCUGUAACUUUCGUUACUUUAUUCAUCAGAACAUAAGCCUAUUAAAUAGGCAGAACAUCCAAACCACUUAGCAAGACAAUAGCUAUAGAACAACAACAAAGACCCACUAACAUACCCCACUAACCAGAACAUAUGCAGAAACUAACUCCUAAAAACAAGCCACAUCCUAUUGACUAGGACUCCACUAUUACAUUAUUGAAGACACGUAAAAACUGAAAGUUAACUACUUCAACAAUUGAUGGUGUCACUUCAAGGAGUUCUCAAUGUCAAUCACGAAUCGAUACUUAACAUCUCUCUUGAUGAGCCUCUCCAGAGCUUCGUUGGCGUAAUCGAUCGGUAUCACUUCAAUGUUUGGGUAUAUCUUCUGCACCGCACACAAGUCUAUCAUUUCUUGGGUAUUCUUUGUUCCUCCCGUUACGCUACCCGUAACAGUUCUCAUAUCUGCCAAAAGUUCACCGCGAGCAACUUAAUUCACCUAUCAGGUAUGAAAUUUCAUUUAGUAAUCAGAUUUGAGAACAAAAACAUACUGAGGUUAAGGCUGGCUGGACUGAAUUUAACUUCGCUCGGGACGCCGACCAAUGCUAGAAUGCCACCCGUCUUCAAAAGAGACAUGUAAGGAUCAAAUGGGUGAUCACCGGCUGCCGUGUCGAUUAUAAAGUCCAGGGACUUAGCAAUGGCCUGCGUGCAUUGGAUUUAUCAGAUCACAACAGAAUUUGACCACCAUGGAUCUCAAUGUGGAUAAUUCUAGUUUUUCCUCUUUUUACCUUCAUCUGCUCCAGGUCAGAUGAGAUAAUGAAAUGGUCAGCCCCAAGCAGGCUCAGUGCUUCCUCCUUUUUAGAAAUGCUUGUACUUAACACUGUGACUUUCAGUCCAAAAGCCUUCCCAAACUUAACUGCCAUAUGACCGAGCCCACCAAGUCCAAUUACACCUAGAGACUUACCAGGUUGGUUCAUCUUGUGACGUAUCAUUGGAGUGUACACCGUGAUUCCAGCACAGAGCAAUGGCGCUGCUAGAUCCAUCGGGUAGUUUUCUGGAAUCCUGAAGCAAUACCUGUCAAUGAAGCACCACAAUUAAGUUUCCAAAUAACACCAAGACAGGAAGUGAUUUCCCAAUAGAAUCAGCAUCCUGUCUUUGUUGUCUAAAAGGAAUCAAAUCACAGAGCCAGAAAUCCUAUCUUCCACAUGCUUGGGAAUUUUACUUGCUUAGACCACAAUUCAGCAUCAUGUUGUUUCUGUGAUCCUUGUUCUGACCACAAAUUGCUCUAGACAAACAUUUCUUGCUGUAGCAACGUAAAUAAAGCAAUUGCAGCAUACUGGAGACCACACUCGAUUAAAAUUAAGAAAAGACACUUGCUCUAAGAAAGGAAACUAGUGGCAUAUCAUGUAUGCUUGACUGAACACGUAAUUUUGUAUUUCCUUCAAUCAAUUUCUCCAAAGGACUCAAGAUUCCUGCGGCUCUAUCAGAAACAAGAAUUAGUGAAAGCGCAUACAUUUAGCUACUCAUUUGAUCUGAUACUUAUGAUCUAACUCUAACAAUCUAAGGACAGCUUAUUCCAUUCUUGACAAUGGUUAUUCAAAAGAAAGAAUUUCUUUUCGCAUUUAAUAAAGCCAGUUCUCCAUUGAAUGGUUUGAAUGGUAAUUGGAUACAGAGGACUUAAAGACUCUCCAGAGUCGUUAUAGAAAGUAUCUUUAUCCCUUUCCACAAGAUGCAAUUAAUGCCUAAAAGCCAUUCCUCACAGUCCUAUGCAUUAUGCCACUUCUGGUCACAAUCAGAAUAAGAAGAAAAUUAGCAGAGAAGAAGACAUGACAUGAAAUCUUUUUUUGGCCACCAUGAUUUGGAAUUCUGUCACAGUGCAAAAUGCUGCCUAAUAACACUGUGUCAGUAAGCAAUUACCUUUCAUGGACGACAAUGUGACUAGAAUAUCCUCCCUUUGUCACUGUACCAUCUGCAUCAAUUCCAUCAAAAGUCAUAACCGACUUUUCACAUUGGACUUCUAGCCUGUCAUUGCAAUACUCGCACUCUCUGCAUGAAUUGACAUAAGUUCCCACCCCCACAUGAUCGCCAACUUUGAAGCGUUGGACACUGGAGCCAACCUGUUUCACAAUUCCAACUAUCUCGUGCCUGAAUCAAUCAAAAAAAAUUUUCGCAAAUUUUGUUCAGAGAAUUAUGAGGAUGGUGCUAAGAAAAAAGAUUUAACAUUUGAAUCCCGCUGCAUCCUACCCCGGCACCAGAGGAUACUUGGAGUGUCCCUGCACAUUCCUAGUCCAAGCCACAUCUGCGUAGCACACUCCACAGUGCGUGAUCUUAAUCGAGACGUCUUCGCUUCCCACGGCCCUAAAGAGAUGAUUCCCAAACAGGUGAGCAUAUAAUCCAGUGACUAAUCAGACUAGGGUGCCCUUUUUUUCCAUUUUCAAGAUCAACAAACUAAACUUGACCUACGAUUAUUGAGGAAACAAGAAACCAGAAAUGAGAAAAGGAAAAAUUCCAUGACUACAAGCAUAUUUGUCCAUACGGUAGAUACAACCUCAAAUGCUCAGAAAGGCAGCCAGUACAGGAUCCUCAUGUCUGCAGCCAGUACAGGAUCCUCAUGUCUGCCAUGAAAUUCUGAGUAACCCAUAACCAACAAUUCUCGACUCAGAAUUCAGCGCAUACACAACAAAAGAAAGAACGAAAAAAAAUGAAAUGGUCUGGACCGAAACUGUCUCUCGUGAACACUGUACUGAGACUCUCGCAUGAACACUUCGGUAGAAAUCGAAAAAGAAAAAAAAAAAAAAUGGCAAUACCUGCGGGUGAAUUUGUAGGGGGAGAGGAACCCAGAAGGGUCCCGGGCAGCCCAACCGAGGCAAUCCUCCUUCCCACCCUCCGAGCUCAUCUUCUGCACCUACACACCCGGCGAAGCAAUCACACAAACAGGUACGGUUAGAUUCAUCCAAAGAAGAAGAAGAAAGGGUGAGAACGCGAACGAGAGAGUGCCCAAGAUCAGAGACUCGACGGGUCAUCACACGGCGACGACUCGAGUCACAACGAGCUCGCCAUCACUCAUCAACUCACUCACUCACCCACCCCCACCUACCCAAGCACAACCCCACAGCAACUCAGAGAGAGAGAGAGAUGACUACGGAGAUGGAGAGAGGUUACGCGGUGGUGGAGUAUGCGGUAGCGCGAAGAGGGUGAUGAGCCGAGCAGAGUCGAGGACGGGAGGUUCAACGAAGACUUUUGCCCCCUCCUACUUUGCAGGAAAGCUACGAGUCGUCGUAUGGAUUUUAUGGCGGUGGCCCCUAGGCUCUAAAAGAAGGUUCGAGGAGCCUACUGCCUAGCCUUCUUUUGCUGUUGGUUUCAAUAUCUGCUGCUUUUCCGCCUUAGCCCAACCGACAUCGCCCUCAAAAGACAUCAAAGAUAAGGUAGUUGGAAGGAAACAUCAUCCGAAACUUAAAGAUGGGGUAGUUGGAAGGAAACAGUAUACGAAACUUUGGUUCAAUAGGUAACGUGAUUUUCUAAAUUUUUAAUUUACCCAAUAUGAUUUUUUAAAAUUUUGGUAUAGAUUCAACUUAGUCUUUAGAGUAUAUAUUGUCGCAAAUUUUAAAUUAAUAAAAUGACGACGUUGAAUAUUUUCAUAUGAUCAAAUGACAACAUUAAAUAUGUACUAAAAUUUUGAAUAAUAUUGAAUAUUUUCAUAUAAUUUUGAGAUUAUAUAGAAUAUGUAUCAAAGAUCAUUAACUAUAUAGUUCCGUUCAAUUUGCGGAAAAUAAUUUCCGAAAAACCGUUUUUCAGAUUUUUCGACAUUCAUUUCAUGAAAAAUGAAUUCAUUGGGAAAAAUGUUUCUUCUAAAUUAAGGGAAAAUGUUUUCCACUUUUAAAAAGUGAAAAACAUUUUCUUCACUCGAUCUCUCUUAUCUUACACCUCUAAAAAUCUCUACUUUAUCCUCACAUUUCUUUUUCUUCUUUUCUUUUUUUAAUUCAAAUUAUUUUUAAUUUCCUUUUUAUUUUAUUUUUAAUUUUUCUUUAUUUUUCUUUUUCUUUUCUUUGUUUCCCAUCUUUUCUUUCUUGGCUAGUUGUCAGUCAUUACCAAGCGAAUCUCGAGUUCGUCAAUCUUAAGCUCACACUCUGUACUCUUACUUAUCAUUUUCUUUAUUUACUCUAUCCUGCAGUUGUAUAUUGCUCAAACAAAUGGCUCUACAUGCUUUGCUUCUUUUUUCUUUUGUUUAUUAGAACACAAAAGACGCAUGAGAGAACAGGCCACUCAACUGGAAGAUUCUCAUUAGGGCUGUACAUGCUUUGCUUCUUUUCUCUUUUACUUCUUUUUAAAAUCCAUACAGACAUUUUUUAGAGUAGAUGAGCGUUUGACAACAAUGAGGGAACAAAGAUAUGCUCGAAUUUAAAUGCAAGUUCAUAUUUGAUGGGUUUAUAGGUCGGUAAGUGAUGCAUGCCUAAGUGGUGAAGUCUUAGAAAAUAUUUUCCUUACCAAACACCGAAAAAUAAUUUUCGAAACAUUUUCAAGUUUUAGCUUAACACUAGAAAAUAUUGUAAUUUUCCUAGAAAAUGAUUUUUGGAAAAAUAUUUUCCGGAAAUGACCAAUUUUUCACGAAACGAACGGACCCUUAGUCUCGGGAGUUUCUAUGUUACAUAUGAUCUAGUCCUUCAACUUUUCUAUUUGUAUACACUCAAAUCUUUUGUCAUAUUCAGUUUUUAUGCAGUUAAGUUUUAUUUUGUUCAUUCAAAUCAUUCAAUGUUCUCGACUAGUGCAAUUGAGUGCUUCACUCACCCAUCAUAACACACAAUUCCAUUUUUCUUUUUCCAAGUUUGCUUUUCGCUCAUUUGGCACCACCUCAACAUUGUGCGAUAUUUUCUACCUCAAUGAUAAUACUAUGUUAUUGAUUACUAUGACACAUUCAGCAAGAGGAUUUACUGAACGAUUUAAUUGCACGAAUCAAGAAAGUUAGAAGACUUGAUUGAACAAAAUAUAAAGUUAAGAGGAUCAAAUUGUGCCGAUAUGGAAAUUUGGAUGACUAAAAUUGCAUCAAACCCUUUUAUAGGGAGAUGGGUCAGCCACAAUAACAUAUUCUUUUUCAGUGACUGGCUUUGACACAACCAAUGCAACAUUAGUACGAAAAUGAAAGAUGAGUGGACAAAAGAAGGGCAACAGAUGUUAAACGAAACCUGUUUCCCAAAAGCACCAUGCAGAAACUUCCUUUCAUUGGAAAAUUUUUCUUGAAACGGAACUAAAGAUUACUGGCUUCGACAUAACCGAUGAACAUACCAAGAGCUGAGGCCUUAUCCAACAACAACGUGAAAAUGAAAAAUGAGUUGAAAAGAAUGGACAGCAGCUGUCAAAUUAAACAUUUUUUCCAUGUCUCGUUCAGAACUUGUCACUCCUUCAUUACAAUCUUGACCCUUUUGAAAUUGGAAGUGAAGGUUACUGGCUUCGACAUGACCAAUGUAUAACUUGUCGCUCAUGCAAUAUGGUAUAUAGAAAUGAAAGAUGAGUAGAAAAAGAAAUGGACGAUUGCUGUCAAAUUAAAACCUUUCCCAAGUCAACUUGUCGCUCCCCUUCCUUCCAUUAAAAUGCUUUUAUGGUGGAACUGAAGAUUACUGGCUUUGACACAACCAAUGUAAACCCUCCAAGAGGUGAGAGAACUUAUGCAAAAGUAUAAAAAUGAAAGACGAGUCAAAAAGAUGAGGACAAUAACCAAAUGCGUGCAACUCAAUUGCACUUUUUGAUAAGGAUAAACUGCACCUCUCCUCAUCAUUGAAAGAGAUAGGAUUAAACGCAGACGUGAUUGACAUAGAGAUUCUUACUAGAAAUUAAAUAAAAAUAAGUCUUUCUUGGUAACAGGAUGUUUGUUCUCGUGACCGUGUAGGUCUUUCUAGGUUCUCUGACGCGUGCCAUGAGGUCAUGGCAUGUUAUGCAACCAGAGAUAUCCAUUCCAUAUUUCUAUGGUAUCUAUCCAUCGUUACCUCCCGUGAACCUAAGAAGAACAAAACCAAUCCAUAAAGCUGGAGGAUCAAGAACAACCCGCCCUAAGUUAUUGAUGAACUGAGUUAACUGUUUGAAGCCUAAGUAGCGAAUCAUUUAAAGUUUAAGCUACUAAAAUGUCAGAUGCCAAACAGAAGGAAAAUCUACAGAGCCAACAUCUGCAUCGGAUCAACGAUGGCAUAUCAACAACUAAGGGAAAAAUCUGCUACUAAAUAUUUAUCUGAAACUAUAAGCGAGGAUCACGUUGCACUUGCAUAAGUCUGUUAACGCAGGUCAAUGGUCAUGUUCUGGCCAGCUAUGUAAGAAGUUUGAAAACUCUACACGGACAGGCACCAUUUGCAAGAAGACCUGUUCCCUCAAAUGCUCAUCUUUGUACUGAGCUGGAAAUGCUUUUAGCAGAUGACUGUGCCUCCAGAAACAAAUCGCAUGAAGUGGCCCACAAUUCUCUGGCAAGUCCAGUGUCGUACGAAACUAAAGAAGAGUUGAUAGUCCGGCCCUUCCCACCAAAGAAUACACACCAGAAAUUUCCUAUAUUUGCAAGACAGCGGCUAUUAGUAAGCACUGUUCCAACAUAUAAUAGCAGCCGCAUAAGAUUGAUACCACAGAUUAUCAGCAGAGAAGGGAAAAUCAAUUCUGGAAACACUCUGUCAUACCGUAGAAUCAACAUUAAUGGAUUUUACGUCCAAUGCUAGUACGACCUCAAUUGAGGAUAAAACGAGAGAGACUCAUUCAAGAUGGUUCAGAUAAGUGAAGCACCAGUACAGGAAUGCUUUACACCAGCCCCAUUUAGUGGGAAAAAAUCACUAUCACCCAUAUCUGCAGCUGUGGUUGCCUAUUGAGAUGAAACACAAGUGAUUUCAUUGCAGUCCCAUCUAGCAGUCCCAUCUAGCAUAUAGCAGAAAUUAAAGAUAACGAUUGCAGUCAGAAAAACACAUAAGAGAAUUGUUGCUGUAACUCUCGUUACUUUAUUCAUCAGAACAUAAGCCUAUUAAAUAGGCAGAACAUCCAAACCACUUAGCAAGAAAAUAGCUAUAGAACAACAACAACAAAGACCCACUAACACACCCCACUGACCAGAACAUGUGGAGAAACUAACUCCUAAAAACAAGCCAUUUCCUAUUGACUAGGACUCCACUAUUACAUUAUUGAAGACAUGUAAAAACUGAAAGUUAACUACUUCAACAAUUGAUGGUGUCACUUCAAGGAGUUCUCAAUGUCGAUCACGAAUCGAUACUUAACAUCUCUCUUGAUGAGCCUCUCUAGAGCUUCGUUGGCAUAAUCGAUCGGUAUCACUUCGAUAUUUGGGUAUAUCUUCUGCGCUGCACAUAGGUCUAUCAUUUCUUGGGUAUCCUUUGUUCCUCCCGUUAGGCUACCUGAAACAGUUCUCAUAUCUGCCAAAAGUUCACCACGAGCAACUUAGUUCACCUAUCAGGUAUAAAAUUUCAUUUAGUAAUCAGAUUUAAAACAAAAACAUACUGAGGUUAAGGCUGGCUGGACUGAAUUUAACUUCGCUUGAGCCGACCAAUGCUAGAAUGCCACCCGUCUUCAAAACAGACAUGUAAGGAUCAAACGGGUGAUUGCCGGAUGCCGUGUCAAUUAUAAAGUCCAGGGACUUAGCAAUGGCCUGCGUGCAUUGGAUUUAUCAGAUCACAACAGAAUUUGACCACCAUGGAUCUCAAUGUGGAUAAUUCUAGUUUUUCCUCUUUUUACCUUCAUCUGCUCUACGUCAGAUGAGAUAACGAAAUGGUCAGCCCCAAGCAGGCUCAGUGCUUCCUCCUUUUUAGAAAUGCUUGUACUAAACACUGUGACUUUCAGUCCAAAAGCCUUCCCAAACUUAACUGCCAUAUGACCGAGCCCGCCAAGUCCAAUUACACCUAGAGACUUACCAGGUUGGUUCAUCUUGUGACGUAUCAUUGGAGUGUACACCGUGAGUCCAGCACAGAGCAAUGGCGCUGCUAGAUCCAUCGGGUAGUUUUCUGGAAUCCUGAAGCAAUAC
Molecule: long non-coding RNA, 78232 nt
Filed under: Eucalyptus grandis
Lineage: Eukaryota; Viridiplantae; Streptophyta; Magnoliopsida; Myrtales; Myrtaceae
Description: long non-coding RNA (EGRA_LNC002640)
Source: RNAcentral